Molecule: long non-coding RNA, 58113 nt
Filed under: Ricinus communis (castor bean)
Lineage: Eukaryota; Viridiplantae; Streptophyta; Magnoliopsida; Malpighiales; Euphorbiaceae
Description: long non-coding RNA (RCOM_LNC001286)
Rfam family: tRNA (bases 32283-32355)
Source: RNAcentral
GUUGGAGGACGACUGAGCGCCGGGUCAAGUAACGAGGGCCUGUAACCUGAUGUAGGGGCAUUAAAGGUGGACUCGGAUGAAUCUGGCCCAGUGGCUUAAAAGGGAUUGUAUGAGGCUAGUGGGCCCUUACUGGCUUGCCAUUACGCGGUUAGAGGAUGCAUGGCGAUCGCAUAAAGCAAGGUGGCCCAUCGGGUGUUAUGCAUGACCCAUAAGAAUCAGCCUCCGAAACCGGAGGCUAAGCUGGCUUUACAGAGCAGCGGGAAUGCCUUCUUCGCGCAAUGGACUCAACAAGCCGGUACCUCAGUCAAUCCACCAUUGGCCCAACUCAGACACCCAUCUUUUCUUUUUUUUUUUGGAAUACAAUCUUAAUAUUUGUAAAGUGCACUUGAUAGCAUAGUGCCUCAACAAACAGGUAUUCUUCAGUGCAAAACUGCAACCUAAUAUCCUGGAGCAUUUCAAUCUAGCUACUCGGUAAUAAUGAACUUUUAGAUGGUGCAUUUGAUACAUGAGGAACAAAAUGUCCAGUUUUAUUUAUAAAUGGACUACCUGACAGUAGAUGACCAAGCCCGCUGGAAAUAAUCAACCAAACAGAAAAAGGCCGACCAACUUGAGAGUUUUUUGUUGCUAUAGUCUAAUCCACAUGGAAACUAACGUCUGUCAGAGACACAACCGCAAACAUAAACAUCAUAAGAAAACCAGAGAAACAGCAAUAAUUAUAUUUCAGUGUCCAAUCUUUUAAGGGAACAGGGUCAAUAGCCCAUGAAUGUAUAGUCAAAAGAAAGAAGUGAAAAGCCAAUCCAAACUUCAGAUAAUGAGAAACACUAGCAAUACAACUGUACUCACAUUUGGUACUCUUCGAAGACAAUGGAUGGAAGUUACAGUUGCAAUUGCAGUGUCGAGGAAUAAUAAUAAUCAUCAGAACAAUAAACAAUUUCUUUGAAUUGCGACAUUAACAAGCCAGAAACUGUUUGAUCUCGUCAACAAAUGUAUCCAAAUUAAUUGCAAAACUGCACAUCUAUCUUUCCUUCAUAUACCCUCAACAAGAGAGGUACCUCCUCCUCAUAUUUGAUCACAAAUCGAUCCAGAAAGCACUUCUCUGUUGGAACCAAGACAGUAGCCAAGCUCACAUCUUUUUUUACCAAUCCCUUGUUCAUCAGAACCCGAAUAACUCGACACCUAGGGACAAUUCUCUUUUCCAAGCUGAAAAACAAUAACACAGGGCAUUGAGCAAUGACCUUGGAGGGUAACCCCAUCUUAUUCACAAAGAAAUCCAUUGCUAACAUGAUUUUCUUCUCCGACAGCAUCAUACAAUGCGGGUGUUUCUUAAAUGCUGCAAAGAUGUCAUCUUUAGACCAAUCCCACCUUUUAUACACCUCAAAACACUUGUUCCAGAUUGCCUUAUUACUCUUCCCAGAAAUUGCAUGUACAGCCAUCACAAAAAUUGAUUUCUUUGGAUCAAAUCCCAUUUCCUUAACCUCUUUCACCACUUUAUUAAACUCACCAUGCCUCUGUAACACCGCCUCAGGGAAAUUAGUCAGCAGCAAAGAAAUACAAGAAUGUGUGACUCCUAUUUCUCUUAAACGCUCAACAUUUGGCAUUAAAUUCUUGGAAUAAUCCUCUAGAAAAAUCCAAGUAGUACGCUUUAAAGCAGAUACAAUCUUCUCAUUCGAUAACAAAAUACUUUUGAGAAAGUUAUAAGAGGGUACAAUUUGAUUCUCUAUGCUUCUAGUCAAAAGAGUAGGGUCUGAAGAGAGGGUUCUAGCAAGAUCAGAACUUGAAACCCCAAUAGAGUAAAAGAACUCAAGUUUAGGCAAAAGAGUAUUAUGGGCAUGCGCUAAAAGUAGAGAAGGUCGUUUCUUUACAAGACUUGAGAUCUGGGUUUUGGUGAAUCCUCGGUCUUUCAAAAGGGCAAGAACUGUGUCUGCUCUUUUCGGUGAUUCUAAGUGUACUUUUUGAGAAGAUGAGAUGGCGGCUUCGAAGGAUAAUCCACAUGAGUGCACAAGAUAGUCUACUGUGAAUGAGUCUCGAUUAGUUGAGAUUUUGGAAGUGAGUACCUUCAGGAGUGGCUCGCUUUGUAGAGAGACAGCUGGUGUUGGUAGCCGCCGUAAGGAUCUUAUUGAAAAGGGCAUUUUGCUGGAAAUCAAAGUGAAGGAGAUAGCAACACCGUCCAGUGUAAAUCUACGGAGAUGUUGGACAAUUUCCACUAUCCAUUUCUAAGGACGAGGAUGACUGAAAUCCUCAAAAGGAUUCUCUUGUCUUCUGGCUUUUAGAAUACUGGAGUUUUGAGCGACUGCUAGGCUAAACGACAUGUUAAUUUUCCCAUAUGUUCAUACGACAACGAAGUUCUUCCGCCGUUUUCAGAUUAGGAGUCCUUUUCUUGUCACUUUUAAGUCACCGCGAACAGACAAACGACAUGUAAUUUUAUUUUCUCCCAGACCAAGAUAAUCUGCGUGUAAAUGAAACCCACGAAAAGCUUUAUAUAGCAACAAGAUUCUCGGAAAGCAAAGCUCCAAGGGGUUCACCUGCAGACAUGAGCUACCAUCUUAUAAUUGAGAAAAUUAUUCUUUGUCCUUGCGAGCAAGCACUGCUGUAAUUUUCUACCGGGAUUUCCAUUUCGUCGUUGUUGGUUGAAUUUAUAUGGGUCACCUGAAAGAUUACCAGACCACAUAGAUCAAACAAGAUAAAACGAGUGGGAAGGAAAGGUGCAGAUUCACUUGACGUUAACACACUAAUUUGUUAGGAUCAUGUGAUCCUGGAGCAGCAACCACAGUAUGAUCAAACUCUAAAGAAGGCUGCGGCCAACUAACACAAAAAGCACACCUGUCUGCACUAGUGAAGAUAUUGAGUUAAGAGUAGACCUGUUCAUGGCCGUGCGUCCCCGCCCCGCCCGCCUAUAGGCUCGCAUCCUUCGGGGCGGGACUUGGACAAUAAUUUUUUAGCACAAAUCCGGCCCGGCCUGAUGUCUAGUUUAAUUAGUAAAAAAAAAAUAUCAUACCUAGCACUCAAACGACUUUCAAUUUAUAAUUAAGUGCUAUAUACUACUUAACUAUCUAUUAUUUCUAUUUAUAGUUUUAUUAUUAUUAAUAAUAUAUUAAUCAAAACAAAACCCUAAAUUUAAAUAUAUCUACAAUUAGAAACAGAUUUAAUAAUUAAUUGGGCUGAAUUGGACCGGACUUUUUAAAAAAUUUCAAGCUCAAACUUGAGCUUAGAGAUAUCAAAAAAAUUUCGAACCUGGACGGGCUAGAGCUUAUUCAAAAUCAAGUCAGGCCCAGCCCGAACCCGGCCCAUGAACAUGUCUAGUUAAGAGGGACGGCUUGAUGCAUUAUAGACUUACAGGUAAAUGCCUUGCGGAGUACAGGAAGUAGUUGAAAAUAGGAAGUAGUUGAAAAUAAGUAUACAAUUCGCAUAACAAGAAGAUAUACAUAUUGAAGAAGUCGUGGAAGUUCUGCAUCAAGUUGGCUUGAUGAUCAGUGUCAGAAAGAUAUGACAAGAAACUUGUUAAAGAAUAGAAAAUAUGCCCAGCAACAUCGUAGAAUUUUGUUGCUCCUCUUUUAGGUAUGUGCACAUCAUCCACUUGGACAACUGAUGUAUGUUAAAGUUCAGAAUCACAAGCAUAAAGAUCAUACGGAAACCAUUACAGCAGCAUAAUUGUACUUCAAUGUCCAAGUCUUUAAGAGAAAUGAUAACAGCAGUACUGUCAAAGUAGAGCCAAUACAAAUAUACAGCCAAUCCAAACUUCAAAAGAAAAAGAAACUAUUCACAAACACAACUCAUUUUCAAAUAAGAAUGCAAGUCAAUUGCAAUUGCAGUGUCGAGGAACAGCAAAUAUCAGUCAAGAGUAGUGAACAAUUUCUUUGAUUUGCGACAUUAAUAGGCCAAAAACUGUUUGAUCUCCUCACCAAUUGCUAUAUAUCCAAAUUAAAUGCUUCCUCCACAUCCCUCUUUCCUUCAUACACACUCAACAAUCGAGGUAUUUCCUCCGCAAAUCUGGUCACAAACCGGUCCAAAAAGCACUGCUCUACUGGAAGCAAGACGCUAGCCAAGCUCACAUCUUCCUUUACCAGUCGCUUGUUCAUUAAAACCCGGAUAACUCUACAUCUAGGGACAAUUCUCUUCUCCAAGCUGAAAAACAAUACCACAGGGCAUUGAGCGAUGACCUUGGAAGGAAACCCCAUCUUGUUCACAAAAAAGUCCAUCGCUUUCAUGAUUUUCUUCUCUGAUAGCAUCAUACAAUGUGGGUGUUUCUUAAAUGCCGCAAAUAUAUCAUCUUUAGACCAACCCCACCUCAUAUAUACCUCAAAACACUUAUUCCAAAUUGACUUGUUACCUUUCCCAGAAAUUGCAUGUACAGCCAACACGAAAGUUGAUUUCUUUGGAUCAAAUUCCAUUUCCCUAACCUCCUUCACAAUUUUACUAAACUUAUCAUGCCUCUGCAUCAAAGCCUCAGGGAAAUGAGUCAGCAGCAAAGAGAUACAAGAAUGUAGCACGCCUGCUUCUCUUAAAAGCUCAAUAUUUGGUAUUAAAUUCUUUGAAUGAUCCUCUAGAAAAAUCCAAGUAGUACGCUUUAAAGCAGAAACGAUCUUCUCAUCAGAAAGCAAGAUACUUUUGAGGAAGUUAUAGGAGGGUAUAAUCUGAUUUUCUAAGCUUCUAGUCAAAAGGGUAGGGUCUGAAGAGAGGGCUCUAGCAAGAGCAGAGUUUGAAGCCCCAAUAGAGUAAAAGAACUCGAGUUUAGGCAAAAGAGUAUUCUGGGGAUGAGCCAAAAGAAGAAAAGGCCGCUUCUUUACAAGACUUGAGAUCUGGGUUUUGGAGAAUCCUCGAUCUCUUAAAAGCGCAAGAACUGCGUCAGCUCUUUUCGGUGAUUCUAAGUGUAUUUUUUGAGAAGCUGAAACUGCAGCUUCUAAGGAUAACCCACAUGCGCGUACAAGGUAAUCUAUAGUGAAUGAGUUCUCUUUAGUUGAAAUUUUGGAAGUGAUUGCUCUGGGAAGUGGCUCGCUUUGGAGAGAGACAAAUGGUGGUUUUAGCUGCCGCGAGUAUCCGACUGAAAAGGGCUGUUUGCUGGAAAUUAAAGUGAAGAAGAUAGCCCUGUUGUCCAGUGUAAGAGUGUGGAGAUUUUGGACGAUUUCCAUUAUUAUCGAUUUCUAAGAACGCGGAUGACUGAAAUCCUUAAAAAGGAUUCUCUUUCUGUCUGCUGGGUUGUAGAAUUAUUGGAUUCUGAGCGACUGCUUGCCAGCCGAACAACAUAUUAUCUAUUUAUCAAGUAAAUGUUCAUACGAGAAGGAAAUUCUUCUGCCGUUUUCAGACUGGAGGAACUUUUCUUUUCUCCUCGAAAGAGAGUGCAAACAAAUGACAUGCGCUUUUACUUUUUUUUAAACCGGGAGAAUCGAGUUUGAAUCAAGACCAAUCUUUCAAGUCGUCCCAUUGAGAGCUGCAGCAAGUGUUCAAAUCUUAAUGGGUGCUUAACAUAGUAACUGGAAAUUAAAUGGAACCAGAAUAAUUUCUUGGAAGGCCAAGGCAGAUCAACUCGCAUAUGCAUAUAAUCGGAUUAACGGAGAAUUCAUUUUCAUUGAAACAUUGCUGGGCAACUUUUUGAGUGCCAUAGAAAUAGCAUGGAUGGCCAUCAACCGCCUGAUCCGGAACAAACAUUUAAUCAAAAGGUACCAAGUAACAUUGUCAAGAGAGCUACCUACUACUAAAUCUACGUGAAUGUACAAUUUACAUUGUUGUAGCAUAGGCCAGGGGUCAUAAUAAAAGUUGUCUUCCUGCUCCGGGUCUCCACCAUACAUCACCUCAACUAGAGACCAUGCUGAUAUCCACCAGUUUCGUCCCCUGGCCUGAUUCUCAACUAGUGAAAAUAUUUCUACAAACACCUACAAUAUCCAUUGCAGUCAUGAAAUGGAAAGCUUUAUACAGCAGCAGGUUUCUUGGAAAGCAAAGCUUUAAGAGAUUUGGGGUCUGUAACUGGGGGACUGCAUGUGAAGUUUUGGCAGACAACAGCUACCACCUUAUCUGCAGUAAAAUUAUUCUUUGCCAUGAGAGCAAUGUUGCUAUUAUUGUCUGCCCAAAACUCCAUUUCUUCAUUGUUUGUUGGAUCUAUAUGAAUUACCUGCAGUUAAUUACAGCAUGGAAAGAUUAUCAAACCGCAUAGAUCUAAAAGGGUAAAACCAGUAGAAAGUUGAAGUGCAGAUUCAUAGACUUGAUGUUGACUUACUGUUUUAUUGGGAUCAUACGAUUCAUGAGCAGCAGCCAGCAUAUCAUCCAACUCUGAAGAAGGCUUGUGGCCAACUAAGACAACUUGCUUCCUGGAAGGCACUGAAAUCAUGUCUGCAGCACAACACAUCAAGGGCACCGCCAUAGCCAUGUCUUUUAGUCUCGUCUCAAAAACUGCCUGUAUCAAAAUUGAACAAAUUGUUACUUGCAGUUCAACAACUCUUAUAAGUUGAAUACUAAUUUCAUUUCAAGAAUCAUUUUGAACGGAGUAAACAUUACCAGAAGAUGCUCUGCAUUGUGUCUGUAACAUUCGGAUUUACUACCAGUCACCAUAGAGGCCAACCUUAUGAGAUUAAUUGCAGAGACCGAGUUCCCAGAGGGCUCUGCUCCAUCAUGGUCUUCUUUUACUCGGAGGAGAACUGAAGGAUCUUCCCCAGGGGUAUUAAAAUAGCCUCCCCCCUCUUUAUCAAGAAAUAAUUCAUCCUGGAGAUAUGUGUUGGAGCAAAUUUGCAGUUAUGUACCAGACCCUAAAUGCUAUUUAUCUGGGGGGAAAUGAACUCAAGUAAUUUCUACCUGGGUGUUCUGCAGUUCAGUUGCCCACACUAGCCAGUAGAUCCCACCACCAAAUUCGUAAAGAUCUAGCAGCCCAGAUAUCAAAAAAGCAUAAUCAUCUAAGAACCCAGGUGCUUUAGAUGGACCAUUCCUAAAGCUGUGCUGAAGCCGGCGUGUUUGUUCUUCAUAGAGGUGUUUUCUAAUAAAUGUUGCUGCGUUCUCUGCAACUUCUAUAUACUCCCGGGGCUGGAAUUUACAGAAUAGCAUACACAGAACAAUCAGAACUCGCAGUGUCAUUUUGAAUAAGAUUCCAUAUUCAUCCCAUUAAUUUGAAGUUUAGUUCAAUUUUGACAUGCACCAACAGCACCAGCUCAUUUGCUAGACAAUUAAAAGUUGAAAAAGGCACAGAUGCCAAUGUCUACAGGCUCGAGUUGUAGAUUACUACAAAAGUACUAUCCCAUUUAAUAAGAUGACCUCACAAUACAGUGAUUAAAAUGCACAGAAGUUGUAUAAAACAGGGCUUCACACUAGGACACUAGGAUUGCACAAAAUAUCUAAUUCACAUUAAUAUCUUUCAUGGGAAGGAUAAUGUAAAAGCCAAGAAGUGUAUUAACAAGUUCACAUUCUAUAUCUUAGAUGGUUAGACCUACAAUGGAAGGGAAUACUUGAAUGAAAACUUGGACCUCCAAGUACUAGAUAUGCAUAGGACAUGGCCUCAACCUACACAGAUAAAACUAUAAGGAUAAUGAUGCCGUCAGAGCACUUUCUUCAAAAGAAGGCAAAAGUGAUGAAUAUUCAACUAGAUCUAUUUCAUCCAGAGUCCCAGAACCAAUAUGGAUACAAAAAAUACUUACAUCACAACCAACAACAGGAAAGUUAUAUCUUGUGCCCUCACUUUCUCUCUUAAGAAUCUUAGAAGCUCUUGCAAAAGCUGAAAUUGCAAGUCCAUUCCAUGAUACAAUUACCUGCAAGCACCUGAUCUGUCAAAGGCUUGACAAACAAGAAAGAACUGAGAAGCUAAGCAACUUUGAAGAAAUUAUGGAAUACCUUAUCAUCCAAAUGUGGCCUUGGUCGUCUUGCUCUUACAUCAAAAAGCAUUCGCUUGCUUUCACCCAAAAUAUCUUGAUAUUUUUCAAUGGGUAAGCCAUGUUUUGAUGCCAAUGCUGAGGGAUCAUUUAAUUCAAUAAGCACAUUUUUUCCCUUAAAUUCUUUAUGAGGAUCACUCAUUCUAGAAAGGUCGCAAUUGCCAAGAGGCUUUAUGUAAUAAUGAUCCUUAAAAAGAGUUGCAUGCUCUCCAAGGAUGUCAUCAAUCUUUAAAAGGGAAGAACCAAGUAGAAAAAUCAGAUUAGCACAAGUAUAUACAGGCUGUAGAAUGCAACAAUGCCACACAAACAUUCUUCUAAAACAGUUCAGAAGAAGAGGGUUUUUGUGAAUUAACAAAUGAAUCAUUCAGCUCGUACACUAGUUUGUUUAUCAAAAGAUGUAUAUAUAUUAAAUUGUCAUUAUCUGCAUAAUAGAACAUACUCACAUUGUAAUUUGAAGCACUGAUUGAAAUGUAGAUGUUAGCGUUUUGCUAAUCAUGACAAAUUGCAAGGUAUUGCAUAUUUGCCACAUGACAAAGAUGACAUCCCAUAAGCAAAAUGAAGGACAAGUAGUCUCAAAUAUACCUCUUUAUCGGUCCAGACGUAGAAGGCUCCUUCCCUUUUCUUUUUAGCACCUUCAUGCUCAGCACUAUCAGCAUCCUCAGCGGAAAAGAUUUCACCCUUUUGUCCAAUCAUAUCCCUUCUCAAAUAAUCAAGAAUAUCCCGUGAUACAAACGAAUAAAAGACAUCAUUGGUAAUGGAGAACGCAUCCAAGUAAAUAUUAGCAAGUUGGCCUUGAUCAUACAACAUUUUCUCAAAAUGAGGAACUACAAGAAAGGACAACAAUGUCAAUAAUUCCAUCAUCAUAAGCACCCCAAAAGUUGGGAUACCUUCUCAAAAAGCUAUAUCAACGAAUUCACCUGAUCAUCUGCUUUAGAACUUAGAAGGAUAUUUUGGGAAAUGAUAUUUUCAUAGAACAUUACACUUACCAUGCCAACGUUCAUCCACACUGUAUCUGUGAAAGCCACCUCCAAUGUGAUCAUGGAUUCCCCCUUUUGCCAUGCAUUGCAAGCUAGAGAAAACCAUCUUAAAACCUUCCUUUGCGUCAUCAACCUUUUCAGAAUCCUCCAACUUUUUUGCAUGGUAAAGCAUCAAUUGGAUCUCAACAGGUCUAGGAAACUUAGGGGCAGAUCCAAACCCACCGAACCUGGCAUCGUAACUUUGAGAAAGCUGCAAGAGAAAUGAGAAAUAUAAGACACCGUAAGGUAGUAAGAUGGCACAAUAGUUGAGACGUAUAAAACAAAAACAAAUAUCCAAAAAAAAAAAAAAAGAUUUUCUAACAUUUAAAAGACAUUCAGGCUAACAAAAUAACUAGAGCACGGACUGGAAAUUUAAUUCUAGAAGGAUGUUGAUGAGAGAAUUAAGAUUGGUCAAAUAAAUAGACUCCAAGGUCAAACCAGCUCACAAUUGAGGUCAAAUGAAUUGCCAAAUGGAAAAAGAAAUGUCCAAGCUCUCUGCAAUGCAUAUGGAAAUGAAGACUACAAUUUAAAAGAGAUGCCCAAAAGAAAAAAAGCUUAAUUCUUUUGUUAGGCAAUCAUGUGACUAAGUUGUUCAUUCACAGUUUUUUUUUUUUUUUUUAUUAGACAUAAAACAAAGCGCCAAGCUCUAGUUGGCAGUUGCAAUAAGAUCAUACUUGCUCUGCACACGAACGCAAAGCAUUUUGUGGAAGUCCAUCUGGCAAUUUAUUUGUACUUGCACUUGCUGAUAAUGCUUCAGACAGCUGCUCAAUGGCGAAGGCUCCACUCUUAAUCAGCACAUCCCUCUUCUUGUCCCAAGCAUCCUUCACCUUUCUAAAACAGGACAUAUACUGGAUUGACCAAGCAGAGAAACCAAGCAAGACUGAAUCUAAAACCGAUUUUCCUUCCAAUUUAAUUUAUUUGUGAGUAGUCAUUACAACACCAAGAAAAGUGAGCACAAGGAGAGAAUCAGAGGAGAAUCAAAAUACUCUCACCUUAGUAAAGUCUUAAAUCCUGGUCUUCCAUAAUUAUCUUCUGGGGGAAAGUAAGUCCCGCCCAUUAAAGGUUUCAAAUCAGGUGAGAGAAAGACACUAAGUGGCCAUCCUCCACCGCCAUACAAUGCUUGCACGAAUGUCAUAUAAACCUAUAAAGAUUAACCAUCUGCUCAGCACACGAUGUAGGGGAUCAAAAAAUUAAUAAAAUGUACUCGUGUUUUUUAAUAUUCACUUGUUUUACAGACAAGCAGUUUUUAGAGGCAAGUUCACUUCAAAACGGAAGCAAGGCCCAAUGCAUUUAAUAGUCUUAUACUAUUAUGCUGUGUCUUCUUAGUCAUGUAUAAGUAAUGCAGUUUUAGCAUUGUAGUUCGUAGGUGGUUCUAUAUAAAUAAGCCUGCAAGACCAUGAUCAAACAACUGACAUAAUCAUAAGGCUUACCUUAUCAACAUCUGGUCGUUCCUCUCGAUCCACCUGUAGCAUUGACAUGCUGGUUUAGAAUGGUUUAUAAAGCAGUUGGUUAUGCAGAAUUAAAAGAAAAGCAAAAUAAAACUGACCUUAAUACUAACAAACCAAUCAUUCAACAAUUUUGCAACGCUUUCGUCCUCAAAAGACUCCACCUCCAUAACAUGGCACCUUAUUCACAAUAGGCACACAAUUAAUACCCCCAUCAUCCGUGGAUAUCACUCAAACUAAGUGUCCAAUACGAAACCAAAUAGAUAAAGAAAGUCUCACCAAUGACAAGUGCUGUAUCCAACUUUAAAGAAGAAGCACCAGAGUAAAUCCAAGGCCACGAAAANNNCGAAAAACCCAAAAUCAAUUCAUAUCAGCCAUCAAUUUCUCAAAACAUUAAAACAAUAGAAGCAAUAUAGAAAAGGAAAAUACUGGAUAAGAAGAUAGGCACAUCUCUUCUUCGUGCUUCAGCGAAAGCUUCUUCACCCCAUGGAUACCAAUCAACCUUUUUCAAUUCGUUCAAAUAUAUAUUAUAAAUCUGAAGACAAAACAGAAAACAGAAAACCGGAGAAGUUAAAAGGAACAAUUACAGGGUUAUGGGCGUGUUGUAGAAGAUAAGGACUGUGCUCAGCAGCAAGACGGUUAGUGUGCUUAUGAGAAGUGGAAGUGGUUUCGGCAGGACGUUCAGCCAUCGCAAGGACAGUGUGAGUGUGAAAAAGGGCAGGAAGAGGCCAAGAAAAUGAGGUUAGAGAAGAGCGAUAAGAUGUUAGACACGAAGAUGAUAAUUUAUUACCAGUAAAAGGAGUAAGGAAGUGGCGAGAAAAACAAGAAGAAGUAGAGAGAAGAAGUGUUUUUCUAAGCAUAGAAGAAGAUUGCGGAAGUGAGGAAUGUGAAAGUAUAGGAUUAUUAAUACUAUUAAAAGAUAAGAAGAGAGAAUGGUUCGGUGGAGAAGAAAAUAUUUGUUUGAGAAGUGUUGCCAUAUGUGAGGAGGUUUGAUUUGAUCAGAGGAGCCAUUGUUGACAUGUGGAGUUUGAACUUUCAAGUGCUCUUCUCUUUUGACAUCUGUCCUCUUUCUUUCCUGCCUUUAAAGAUAAUACAUGUUAUUUAUAACUCAUCUCAUCCCUUGAUGUCUCAUUUUCAAAUAAAAGAAUUAAUUUUUAUUAUUUUUAUAUAUUUAGUUUAAUAUUUAUAUUUCUAAUUUAAUUUAACAAAUAGAUAUAAUGAAUUUUAUAAUAUCUAUAAAUAAGAUUUAAUUUUUUAUAAUUAGUUUUAUUAAUUCUAAUUAAUUAAAAAACGCCGGAUAGUACAAAAUGAAAAGAAAUACUCUUUUACGCUUUCCCUCUACUUUCUAUUGUGCCAAUCAAUUAACCUUCAACAAUCCAUUGCUUUAUAUUUUUCAACGAAAUAGUGGUAAUAAUAGUGUUAACCAUUCUAUAUUUAUUUUAUUUUAUGUUGUUUCAUUUAAUCAUUAGAAAUAAUAUAAUUCAAUGUAAUAAGAUGUUGACAGGCACUAUGCGAUUCCAUGCUCGCAUCCCUUUUCUUUAUUCAUAUGUAAUGAUUAAUCCCAAAUUAUGUGAGUACUUUGCUCAAAUAAAUGUUCUUUGAAUAAGGCAAGUUAUGAUGUAAUUAUAUUACAUUCCCAGUGAUAAUUUAGUUACAUGACAAUAUCAUUGCAUGGUACAUACUUCUAUCUUCGACCCAAUUUUUUUUUUCCGUUUGAAAAAAGAAAGUUGCCUAAACAACUUUGCUCUAUGCUUACCCAUGUUAAGAUAUGUUCGCCAUGAAAAAUUUACAAGGUAAACAUCCCAGCGGCAGCCAAUUCUUUUUACCCCGCCGCAUUGCUCUCCAGCAUUUUUGGGGUGGGGUUUGUUCACUAACUCAAGAACGUUUUGAGUAUAGAAAGCAUUUUGUUAAUCAGGCAGCUGGUGCACCCACAGACUCUGCAAGUUCUUCCAGAAGUUCCUUCUGCUCCGUAGAAGCACAUGCCUACAAAAAAGCAAGCAUUUGGGGAGAGCGGUGAGGUUCAAUAUUCUUAUUAUGCUGGCAGAUAUUAUAUUAAUUUUCCAGCCAGAUAAAAGAACAAAAAUGAAGAACGAAAGGAAGGAAGAGCAUAUUAAAACAAAAAAAGAACAAUAUGCCGUCUGCGAGAAUGAAUACCUGCACUGCAUUCUCUAUAUCACCUUGAAGAAAAGAUGUGAGCUCGAAGUUCAUCUUUAACCGGUGAUCAGUGACUCUAUUGUCCUAGUUACGUAGGAUAGAUGUUAAUAACCUUCCUUAAACUUAUCUCAGUAUGUCGAGCAAUGAAUCAUCAGGCAAAUAAAUAAUUCAUUUUUACAUAGUCUGAGAAAGAGCAGAAGAAGUUUGUCAUUGCACAAAAAGGCGUCAGCCAAUUAAAUACCUUGUAAUUGUAUGUUCGAAUCUUUUCUGCACGAGCACCUGUUCCGACCUGCAUUUUUAAGAAUGCAAUAGAAGUCAUACAUUAGUCCAAUACCACAGCAAUCCAAAAGGCAUACGUAAGUUUGACACUUAAAGCAUGUUUGGUACACCAUAAUAGAGAGUAAUAAAAAUGUACUUAGAAUCAAUUUCAGCUUAUAAUUUAAAAUUUCUUUGCUCAUAUUUCACUACAUUCAGUUACUUUAUAUGGAAACACACUUGAUAUGCAAAACUAAAGAUAAAAAAGAGGCCACCUAGAGUACUAGAGAUCAUAUAGCCUCUAAUAACUGAUAACAUUAGAAAUACAAGAAAAAGAAAGCCCAUUACAUUUGCUCCUGAACUAUUGUAAUCUCUCAUGGAUCUUAUGUGACCUUAAAGUAACAUAUACCUGUAAUUUUCGUUGAUUCCUUAUUGACUCUUGCUGCUCCCUCACUUUCAUCUCAUACCUGUGACAUGUUUAUGUUUUAUGAUCAAUUUAUCAGAAUAGGAGGAAUAAAUUAAGGGGAUCAAUCUAUGUCUUGUCCAUUAAUGAGCAAGUAUUACAUUUAAAAACAAAUAAAUAUGUACAUGAAAACAAAAGGAGAAACUACAGUUUACAUGUAACUUUGGUCAACUAAAUGGAAGAAGUUCAAGAACUUGUUACAAAGAGGUUCAAUGAAUGAGGCAAUAUGGGAACAUAAUUAACGCAAGCACAAGUAUAUAUGAAACUCGAGAUUAUAACAAUAUAUUGUAGUUGGUACUAACAGCUUCGCCCGCAGAAGCUGGAGAGCACGGGUCUUAUUCUGGAGUUGCGUCCUUUCUUCAGUACAAAAUAUGCGGAUUCCCGUUGGUUUGUGAAAAAGAUCAACAGCCGUUUCCACCUUGUUGACAUUUUGCCCUAUAGGAGGUCAUGCACAAAACUGUUUGAAAAGAUGCCUUUAAUCUAUUCUCCCAUUUCCUGGGGUGCAUGUAAGGAGGGGUAGGGAGGAAGAGAGAUGGAGAACCAACAUUUUAUUAAAUUAUGAGCUAAUAUCAGCUAUUUCAUACCUCCAGCACCUCCAGACCUAGCUGUUGUAAGUUCAAUAUCCUUUGGAUCAAUUACCACCUCAACUUCAUCUGCCUGAAUCCAGAAUAAAGCAUAAGUAUAAGAACUGCCAUACACUAAAAAGGAAAAAUGAAGUAGUAAGGACUAGUAUCAGAUUUAUCAAGUUAGCUACAUCAUGACUAUUUUAUCAGGACCAAUAUCAAAAUCUUCAAUAAAAAGAAAAAGGAGUACCAGUUCUACACCUUUACAUGAAGACCUUAAUGUGAGUCAUGUGUUAUGAGAAGAAUUAAGAAUUAAGUUCAGCCACAUCAUGGCUAUCUCAUCAGGACUGAUAUCAAAAUCUUCAGCAAAAAGGAUUAUCAUUUCUACAUCUUUGCAUGAAUCCAGAAUUAUAAAAUACAUCAAUCUCCAAUAUAUUUCAAGUAGAAUACGGAAGCCAUCAUCAAGGAUUUAAAUUUUUUACUAAAACUUGAUCUUGCAGUAUUAUUCAGGAAACAUCAUAACUUAGUUAAUAUUAGCUUGCUUCAGCAUGAUCAGGGAUGCACAGAGCUCAUUGCAACAUCUCCGUCCAGGCUUCAGUAUAAGACAUAUACUAAAAAAUGCAUCAAAUCAUUAAUGUUGUGCAGGAAUACAUUACCUAAAGACAAGAUAUACUUUACCUCAGGCAUGAUGGCUACAGUUGCAGUAGAAGUAUGCACACGUCCCUGUGUUUCUGUCUGAGGAACCCGUUGAACUCGAUGAACACCAGAUUCAUAUUUUAAUUUGCUGUAAACACGAUUCCCUUUUACCUCCAUCACAUAGGUUUUGUAUCCACCCUUUUCAGCCUUAUAUAGUAAAAGAGUUUGCCAGUCAAAAAUCAACAAUUGGGAACAAACUUCUGCUGAUAUAUCAAUAAGAUCUAACCUCAGAACAUGAAACUAUAGCGUACUUCCAAGAGUUCUGCUCACAGUAUUUCUCAUACAUGCGAACCUUAGCACUCAAAAAGAAGAUGUAAAAUUUGCAUCAGGAAAUAUAGAACUAGAGCAGUAGAGUUUGAAACAAAAACAUGAAAAUUUAGUAGCACAAGAGAAGCAUGUACCUACAAGAUCACCAGCCCAGAGUCCAGCCUCAUCACCACCAGUUCCUGCCCUUACUGCAAAUGAAGAGAAAAAGUAAACUAAUGAUCAGUGAAGCAAAAGAGAAUAAGUACCUAAAAUUAGAGGAUAUGCAACUGUUCCCAAUUGUUUUCUAGACAUGUUAGAUUCUCUACCAUUAAGAAAAUCACUAAAUAGCCACAAUUGAGAUCCCCAGCAAACAAUAAUUGCUAGAAACAACAGUGCGUCACUGUCUAUUCCUACACAGCAGAUGACAUAAAAACAACUGAGAUAAAGAGACAAAGAAUCUUUAACUGGAAAAGAUAUACAACCUUCAAGCAUUAUAUUUCUUGCAUCAAGAGGAUCACUAGGUAGUAGUAGUACCUGCCAAAUGUCAGAUAUGAGAUAAACAGAGAAAAAGGGUCAUGUCAAAGACACAAUAAUUAAAUGUCAAUAAGGAUAUGAAAAAAGGCUUCAGAUAUGAGAUAAACAGGGAAAAAGGGGUCAUGUCAAAGACAUAAUAAUUCAAUCUCAAGAAUAAGGAAAUGUGAUAAGGCAAUUCCUCUACACUACAAUGCCUAGAGUUGCACAUGUGCACCGAAUGAACAAUUUAAUUAAUGACCUAAUUUCAGUCCAAGAUGUUGGCAUUGGAAAGGAAUCAAUUUCCAAUGCUAUCCAGAGAUAACAUAAUGUGCAUUCGGACAACCCAACAACUAAUAGGACAUGAGAAUUAUAAUAUUGAAAAAUAACUGGAAAAGUUUGAACAGGAAACCUUAAGCUUUUCCUCCAGCCCUUUAAGUUCAGUGGAUAAAGAAUCAAUUUCCAAUGCUAUCAUCUCAGCCAUAUCCUCAUCAGUUCCUUCCUCUUUUGCUAAAGCUGCAAUAUUAUGAUAAAAUGAAAAUGAUCCUUAAAUUAAACCUUCUUGAAUGGAAAUUAAACAGGAAAUAGGCAAUGCGAGGCUACACCUUUAGUUUCUUCUAACUGCUUUUCACAAUCCUUGAAUCUCCUAUAAACUGACACAACCUAUUAAUCCAAAUACAGCACAAACUACAGUCAACGAAAUAAAAAAAAUAAAAAGAAAAGUAAUCAACAGGCCCGAACUGCAAUAAUUACUUGAUCGAGCUCUGCCACAGAUUGUGCAAGCUUUUGGUAUUCAGUUGGAUUCGAGACAACAUCUGGAUCAGCCAGCUUGACCUGCAAUAUAUCUUGUGUAAGCUGAUGUUCGAUGCCUAUACUUAUUAAUUGAACUCCAAUAUCCAGCCUAUAAAUGCACAUUUCCAUUUUGAGAAAUCAAACUCCUAGAAAACCUAAAUUCGUUGUGUUUGGAAAGUCUAAUGCAAGCAAUAAUUCAAUUCUAUAUAAUUAUAUUCAGUCAAUUAUCAUGCCUGGAAAGUUUGUAAUUGCUGGAAUUCAAUUCUUUCAACUUAAAAUUUGAGAAAAGAAAAAGAAAGUGAACGAUGUACCGAUAAUUCUUUCCACGUUUUCUCUGCUGAUUCCAGCUUCGUUAUCAAGUAAGGCUCCUGCAGUUCAAUUCACUUUAUAGAAAGUUAGAUAUACAUUUAAAAUUCUUAUUACUCAAUUUUUUUUUUUCCAUUUUAAUUAAAAACGGAAAAUCACACGCACCGCCAUGCAAAUGAUUCUAGGUUUUCUGCGAGUUGUUAAGGGUUUAAGAAAAAAAGAAUUAUUUCUCAAUUGAAAUCGAAAAUGUCGUCGUAUUGGAAGUUGAUUGGGAGUAGUAAGCAUCCGAGCUGUGAAGCUCAUCGUUAAACUGGUCAUUGGUGUCGUUUAAAUUAUAUAGUGAAUUUUGAGGAGAGGACGCGAGCUCAGGUUCUGUAUCAGAUGGAAGAAAAAAGACAGGGAAAGAAAGAAAGAUAGCAAAUAGAGUUUUGAGAGGACUGAAUGGCUCGAGGGGCAACUGAUAAGGGUCUGUUUGGUUAUAUGGGUUUGUAUAAACUAGACCCAAUCCGGUGUGUCGGGUUAACGGGCUUAAGGUAUUCUUCCAUCUUUUUGUCCGUGUCGAGAGACUACAAAUUCCGGUUCAAGGUUGACUCGACUCAAAUUAUUGAAGUUCAAAAUAUAAUUCCACUCUGUUGAGUUUAUUUUUCAUACUUCAGCCACUUUGUUAUUGAAAAACAUUUCAUCGAUUAUAGCAAUAAAAAUAUAAUUAAUAUCAAUCUUAAUUUAAAUAGUAUGUUAUUUUUUAAAAUUAAAUACAAAUAUGUUAAAUAAUAUAAAAUCAAUUAAUCAAUUAAAUUUAAAACUAUCUAAUCAAGUAGUAUAAAAUUCAGAGUUAAUUUGAUUUAUUACUUUAACUAAGUGAAUACAAAUUAACUUGUUUUAAUAAAUAUAACUCUAAAAUUUUUUUAUAUUAACUUAUUUUAACAAAAUUUUAAGAUGUGUUAUGAAAUAAAUAAAUAUUUUAUUAUUUUAGAUUUAAGAAUUCUCAGGCCUUGAAACUUAUUAAUAAACCUGCAUUUUAUUUAAAUAAUCAAACUAUAAUUUUCUUUUAUCAUCUUUAUCUUUAACAUCCUAAAUUUAAUUGAACACUGAUUAUAAUUGUUUUGUUAGAAUUCUUACUUAUCUUGGUCAUAAGCUAUUUUUAAAAUAUUACUAUCUGACAGUAUUAUUUUUCAUUAAUAUCUUAAAAGAUUAAAUUUGCAUGAUUUUUUUCGUGUUAUAUUAUCAUACAAUACAAGCAUAGAAUAAUUGGCUAAAGAGUCCCUUAAGUAUGGAAUAAUUUUUUCAAUUUUCAAACAAUUAAUUUAUGCAACGAAAAAAUAAAAUAUUUUCUUUCUUGCAUUGGAAACGUAGAUAAAUUUAAUUUAUAUAAUAUUUUUAAUUUGAAUUAUAAAAUUUUAUCUUUUUACAUUUAGUUUGGCUCAGGCACUGAAUAUAUUAAAUAAAAAAAUAUCUAUCAUAUUAGUGAUAAAAUAAUUAAAAUUUAGGUGUUUAAAUAACUGCAUACUUCAGAAAAAAAAACAAAAGGAAGACACCAUUGUUGGAGCUGUUGGUUAGGGCUUAGGCGUGUGCACAGAAGAUGGCUGUUAAUUUGAGAAGUACUUUUUAAUUUUAAGGUCACUCAAAUUGAAAAAAAGCAGCGACUUCAUUAUUCCUUUUUAUCCUUUGUUUGUUCCCAUAUAAGAAAGCUGAAAGCAGCCACCCACCACCACUGUCACUUUACUACAAAGGAAAUCAGUCCCCAUUGGAACAAAAUCAAGCCACUAGAUGCUUGCAUUGGAUGACACACACUCACACACAUCCGUUUGUCCUUCAACAUGGACCAACACUAAUUUCAUGGCGCGGCCACUCUUAAUUUCACCGUCUACUUUCUCUAAAUCAUAUUUCACUAAUAAUUGAUUGAAUUACUUAUACAUUAGAAUCACCCUUCUACUACUUGUGUAUAAUUGCCAUUGCUAAUGAAUGCUCCACUUUAGCGAAUAUGUUUUGGAUUGCUAUUGGAUAUAAAAUAAUAUAUUUUAAAUUUUUGUACUUUAAUAAAUUAUUUUUUUUAAACUAUUUUUUUAAAUAUAUGUUUUAAAAAAUAUCACACCGCUUUCUUAUUUGAAAACAUAAUUUUCUAAAAUCUAAAAAAUAAAAUAUUAUUUUCAUAAAAUAAAUUAAAGAAAAAUAGUUCCCAAUGGAAUCGCACUUGAGCUGUUUAAUUCCACUCCACUAGCCAAGAAAAAUGAAAAUACAAGGCAACCAAACAAAGCAAAACAAACAGAAAAUUGAGAGCAAAAAUUCCAUAUAUGUCUUAAAAGACACAAACACCCAAUUUGUCCCAUUACUCCCUCUGAGCCAUAUACAGGGCUAGUUUGGUAAUUACGGGGAAACACAAGUGUCGGUUACCUGGUUAAGCCCAAACCCCGGCUUUAAACAUUUUCCGGGAAAAAUAACCAUUUCUAGGAAACUAUAAUAUUCGGCGGGUACGGAAAAUAAACGGACACAGUCCCAAAAAGAGAGAGAGAAAAUAAUAAUAAAAAAAACGUAUUUUCAGUUUUACUAGAGUAGAAGAAAGAAGAGAAAAAAAAAAUAAUACGAAAAGAAUUUGCUUAAGAGAGAGGACUCGAGUCAGUGACCGUACAGUCUCGGAGAGAGAGAGCGGAAAGAAGGAAAGAAAGAAAAACUCCAUUACUGUUUUAAAGCUAAUCAUCAGAAAACGAGAGUAUCAAAAGCUCUCGUCUUCGCUUAUCACAGUGUUGUUGUCUCACUCGAUAGAGCUAAGCUAGCUCUUUGCCGAUCUUUCUAGAACAUUCUAUUUACAGUUUUCUUUUUCAUCUCCACUUGAUUAGUAUUCUUGAAAAGUGUACAGUAAGCCCCUUUCUCUCUCUCGCUCCCUCUAUCUUUCUCUUAAAUGGAUUUGUACGGUCGGAGCCAAGCUAGAAACGGGUUGCAAUCGGGUCAGCAACCCGAAUGGAGCUCCGGAGGUGCCGAAACGGGGCUAGAAGGUAUUGAUUUUUUCUUCACUUUAGCCUGCAUUUGUGGCUGCAACUCUGUUUUCUAUUUUUAUUUUGGUUUCUAGGGUUUUGGAAAUGUGAAAUGGGGGAUUAGGGUUUUAUGUUUGAUUUUAUUUAUUUAUUUAUUUAUUUUUAAAUUGGAGUAUUAGAAUCGAUGUGGCGAUUGGGGCUUAAUAAUAGCGGUGGCGGUGAAUCUUAUCCGGAGCGACCCGGAGUACCCGACUGUGUGUACUAUAUGAGAACUGGGUUCUGUGGAUAUGGUAACAGGUGUCGUUAUAACCACCCUCGUAAUCGCGCUGCGGUAAGUAAUUUCUCUUUUUUUUUUCUCAACCAUUUCUAAAUUUAAGUGUAUUGGCAUCAGUUACUGUAUUCCAUUCAAUUUACACACAGAUUGCUAUGUAAACUGUCCUUUGUAGUUGUGAUUAAUUUUCUCUUUUCAUGUAGUUGUAAUAGGUUUCUGGUUAACUUAGUAGAGUAUGCUUACGUCAAUGGAGGGAGUUUGUUUUAUUUCUGAUAAUUUGAGGGAAAGAUUUUAUGUCUGGUAAUUCGAGGGAGAAGAUAGCAGAAUUUUGGCAGUUUAUGCUUUAGAUUUUUCCACAUUAGGCCAGGUAGUUCAGUUUUGGACUCGGUUAAGUGGAGGUUUGUCUUAUUAUUCAUUCACUAAUCAUGCAAAAGUCUGUGAUGCAGAAAUUUUAGUUAUUUUGUUUGUAUUGCUUUAGUCAGUAACUGAAAUGAACAAAUGGUCUCUCGUAUUUUCUUUAUUGGAAUGUUACUUAGGUUGAGGCAGCUGUAAGAGCUACUGGGGAAUACCCAGAACGAAUUGGGGAACCCUCUUGUGAGGUAUAAUAUUAAAUUCACCAAUUUAGUUAUUCUGUGUAUUCAUUGUCAAUGCUCUGUUGCCACUUGUAUUACAUGCUCUUUUUAUUUUUUAUUUUUUUCUAUUUUUUUCUGUACAGUUUUAUUUGAAGACUGGAACCUGUAAAUUUGGUGCAUCUUGCAAGUUCCACCAUCCGAAACAUGGAGGUGGAUCCUUGAGCCAUGUUCCACUAAAUACACAUGGAUACCCAUUACGACCGGUUUGAUAUCUCAUAUUUCGUUUUUUCAUGCAAUACACGCACUUCACAUGCACAAAAAGAAUAGAUAAUAGGAUUUGUAUUUUAUACAUUAUCAAUUAAUUAAUCAGCUAAAUGGUGUGCCUUUUUCUUUUAUUUUUUCUUUAAAAAAAAAACAGGGUGAGAAUGAAUGCUCCUACUAUUUGAAAACGGGGCAGUGCAAAUUUGGUAUAACUUGUAAAUUCCAUCAUCCUCAACCAGCUGGCUCAUCAUUGCCAGAAUCUGCACCCCAGUUUUAUCAGCCGGUGCAGUCACCUUCAAUUCCUAUACCUGACCAAUAUGGGGGGGCAUCCGCCAGCUUGAGGGUGAGACCUCCACUGUUACCUGGUUCAUAUGUGCAAGGGGCUUAUGGUCCUGUGUUGUUUUCUCCUGGAGUGGUUCCUAUUCCAGGCUGGAGUCCUUAUUCGGUAACUUUGCAGCCUCAUUUCAUUUGAGUUGUUGCAAAAUAACAUGCAUAUCUUAUAAUGAAUUUGGCUUUUUUGGCUCAGGCACCUGUAAGUCCUGUUCUCUCUCCUAGUGCACAGCCUGCAGUUGGAGCAACUUCUCUAUAUGGUGUAACACAACUAUCUUCUUCGACACCUGCACUUGCAGGACCUUACCCCUCACCCUCUUCUGCUGCUGCUGCUGCUGCUGCCCCUUUAAGUGGUACCCAGAAGGAGCAAACUUUUCCAGAGAGACCUGGUGAACCUGAAUGCCAAUAUUACUUGAGAACUGGGGACUGUAAAUUUGGAUCAUCUUGUAGAUAUCAUCACCCUCGUGAUCGAGUUGUGCCAAGAACAAAUUGUGUCCUCAGCCCACUUGGUCUUCCUCUACGUCCAGUACGUGAAUUUUUGCAUUUUCUUCAUUCAUAUGAAUAUAAAUCACAAACUACCAACCCAAAGAGGACCCCAAAUGCAAAAGACUCAAAAUAAUACACUUCAAAACCUAGAAACCGCAAACCCCUCCCUGCAGGGUGGCAGUGGGGUCCUCUUCCUUACAAAACCAAAAGGUGCUCUGCAAAUUUUUCUAUCAUUGUUUAUCAUUGGUCGGGAUAAUGGUUUCUGAUGAUGCCUGCAAUACUUGGAAUUAUGCUCUGAGCACUUAGCAUUUAUGAUUUCACCUGUCUAUCCAUAUGUUCUUUUCUUUUUUUAAAUUAAAUAUUUUAUAUAGUAUAUUGAAUCCUCAUCAAUCCUUCUUUUCUCAGUUUUUCUGUUGAGUCAUUUUGUAUAAUAUGCAUAAGAACUGUUCGUUGUGAUCAAUUACUAAAGUAGACAAUAAAAGAAUUUAUGUACUAAUAAUGUCUGGUUGACAUUAUCAGGCCAGCAUGAGGUUUAACUAUUUGGCGGUCUAUCACUCUGCUCCCUCUCUGUUCAUGUCUCUUUUAGCACAUUAGGUUAGGGCUAUUUAAUUAUGCAAUUUUAGAUUCCACCUUAACAGAAUUCUAUAGUUCACCUGUUAGAUUCUUCCAAGGUUGCAGUAACUGGGCAUUCUUAUUUGCUCAUCACAUCAAACUUGAGAGUUCAAUUUGCAAAGUAGUUUUUAAGUUGGGAGGGUCUUUAUGGGGCCUUGAAAACUGUUUUGGGAAUGGACAUGGAAUUUUCUGUGUGAGUUGGGUAUCAGCUAGUGGCUGCAUAUAGCCGUUAUCGUGUUUUCAGAAUUUGGCUCUUAGAUUAGGCUGUAGUGAUAAGGUUUCUAGUGGUCUCAUAGAUUAAGGCCUUUUCCAAUGUUUCAAGGUUCUGGUGUUUGGCAGAGAUGAAAGUGGACAUACGGUUUCAGGACAGAUAGAACUAUAACUUUAGGAUCAAUGGUUAGUGAAAUUUCUUUUGCAACCUCUGUGUGUGCACCUUUCUACCCACUCCCUGUUUUGCUAAUGUAAGUACAAUAUGCACCAAGAUUUGAGUAAGGCUUAUCAGUUCCAUUUCUGGUAACUAGCAAGUGAGACAGCAUAGUGGGUUGGUGAUAGCUAACUGCUUCUGUUUGAACCAUGGCCUGCCGCUGGGUAUAUAUGACUUGCAUCUUGUACAAACACUUUUCUGUUUUGAGUAACUUGUUAUUGCUUUUUUUUUUUCUUUUAUGGUUAAUGAUAAUAUGCAGUGUGCAUUCAUAAUACUACCUCCUUUCAGACUCUUUUUAAAGUAUGACAUAUUUUUGUAACCAGGGAGCACAACAUUGUACAUUUUACUUGCGAAAUGGGCAUUGCAAGUUUGGGUCCACAUGCAAAUUUGAUCAUCCAAUGGAAACAAUGAGAUACAGUCCAUCAGCAUCUUCUCUUAUCGAUAUGCCGGUUGCUCCAUACCCAGUUGGGUCUUUACUGGCGACUCUGGCCCCUUCAUCCUCUUCCUCUGAAUUGAUUGGAGGCACCAAAAUAGAUCCUUAUUUGAGUAGAAUACCUUCAUCCGGAAACACAUCAAGCAGUGGAGUUGGAUUGAUGUUCUCCCAAACUGGGUCAGUUCCACUUUCUGAGUUGCAACUUCCAAGUCAGAAUCCUGUUCCUUUAACCAGUAGCCGAAGCACAAGACAAGGUGCCGAGGUUCGUCGUUCAAGCUGAUGCGAAAUCCUUAAGUCAUCAUUCACUGUCUAGCGCAUGUUAUGACCAGUACUCAUUUGCUGUCUGUUUAUAGAGCUCAGUUAAAUUUUAGUUUGUCUAGAAGUUUGCUUACUCAAAGUAAAGGUUUAUCAUGCAAUCUGGCUUAGGUCAUACUAGGAGCAAUCAUCUUUAAGCUCAUGUCUUCUCUCUACAGUCGUAUAUAUUAUCUCAAUAAGCUUAAUAGCAAUCACUAUAUGAACUUCUCUGCAAAACCUCCAAAUAAUUUCAGUUUAUCAGACCAGCCUACGAUCUUCUCUCGAACUUUGGAUCUUUUAUACCCGAUUCUGAUCAUUUUUGUGAUGGAAAGAAUUAGUCUAUCCCCUACUUAGUAGUCACCUCUCUUCAUCUCCCUUUAUCUCUCUCUCUCUCUCUCUCUCUAUCUCUCCCUCUGAAAACUCAGGACAAAUCCAGUUUUUUAACAUCUGAGCUUAUCUACUUGAUUUUAGAGGGCUUAGAAGCUCUUGAUUUUGCCCUCCUUUUUGAGGGCAUUUAUGAAGAAUGUUUUGAAGAUUGCAAGUAGGCAUGUCUCUCCCGCCAAGGUGUCAUCAGCAGUGAAGCUCUUCAUGUUUGAUUGAAAGGCAGAGAUGUCUUUUAAAUGUCAAUUAUAUCUAUUUCUUUUCUGCAUUUUUUUUGAAAGUUAUAUGAGACGGUUGUAACUUGACAAUUGUUUUCUUUAUUUUGGCAAGAGAUUGUUUCAGAUUCUAUGUGCAUUCUGAAUGCAGGUAACCUUGACUAAUUGUGCCUGUCCCAGUCGUAUUCUAUUCAGUUGUGGAAUCAAAAUCCUGAAUUUGUUGAUUUCGUCGAUCUGCUUUUGAUGCAUCUUAGUUUUGUAGCCAAAUUGGAUAUUGUCAUGCUAAGGAGCCUCUGGAUUGUAGGGACGCUAUUCAAGUCAGGACAUGUACCUUCCCAGUCAUUGUUCAUCACCUUACUGACGUUGUUUCGUUUAAUCCUGUAUCUCAAAGUUAGGCCUGAUGGUUAGUGUUUCCCUGUUAUGUUGACGUAGGCGGUUUGUAGGCCUCAUUGGCACGUACCAUUGUCCGAAAUUAAAAAUGAAAGAAGUUAUACAUUCAUUCGUGACAGGUGGAACAGCGACAUUAGAAUAGGCUUUAUUAUUAUUGAAGUCUAACAUGGUACAUUAGAAACAGUACGAGAGGCAGUAUCUGUUACAGUUAUGCUUCAUUUAGAGUAGAAUGACGAUGAUAAACUCGAAAAAUGUCUUUCAAUGUUAUGAUGCCUAUGCGACUCAAGAUAUAUUCAUUUUUCUUUAUUUAUUUGUAAAAACAAAAAUCAUGGGAAGCAAAAAGAUUUUACUCUAAGCUGAAAAGGAUAGUUCAAACAAAGAAAAGGUGGCUCAUUAUUUUCACUUAGCAAAGAUGGCAUUUUCUAUCCACAGGGAAGGAGAUGACCUUGACAGCUGACCUGUAUCUGUACUUGAUUUCGUUUUCAUUUUUUUUGUUUUGGUUAAAUAGCUAUUUCGAAGGUGUGUACAAGUACACUGCACCUGGCUGCUGUUUCGGAAAUGUAAUAUUUUUGACCCUACAGUUUUUGAGUUACUGGAAUAUAUUUUACAGUUCAAACACUUUAAAUGCACAAAUUAUCUUUUAAAAUUGUAUAUAUUUAACAUUUCAAAUUUCCAAAAGUAGAUAACAAUGUAGAAGCAGAUCCUAAUAGGAGAUGCAACCUUGUGGAAAGAAAGAUUGAAAAAAAAAAAAAAAAAAAAACCAAAUGGUUUUGGGUUCAGCCUGCACAGAAGAACAGUGACAACCACAACCAGACCCAUAUUCUCUCAGCACCAACCCACAAGAACUCCAAUCUCUUAUGGGAGUGACCCACGAAUAGAAGUUUCACCGAGUGAAUUCAAAAGGUGUUUUUCUUUUUCACCAGAGCUGGACCAUUUAAUAGAAAAGUAAAAAGUUCUUUUGUCAAAAAGAGAAAAAGAGGUAAAAUAAAUUCUCACCGUUGACGUUGACCCAUAAUUGACAGGAAAAAGAUAUAGUUAAAAGCAUCGUAAUUUAUGGACUCUUAGCAACUGAAGAAAAACAAACAACAUUAUUUUCUCCAAUUCAUCUCCGUUAACCUUUAAACUGCACUGCCCCUACUCAAAGGUUUCUGACGGGACGUAAUUUGCAACGGGGUAAACUGCAGCCCAUUGCAAAAGAGGCCUAAGAUGAGAAAAUGAAACAGCCUGAUACUGGAUUAAGGAUCUUCUCAAUUAUAGGCAAAAGGCCCAAUUGGAGCUCUGACCCCAGAAAUCCCUCUUUAUCUCCUUAUCCUCUUUCCCUUACCAAAAGAGAAAAACAAAAAAGAUUGGUAGUGGGCUAGUAAUUAUUGAUCAAGGAGCAAUUUAUGGUCUAUUUAUAGCCAUUGAUAGGACAAUAAUUGUCUUAAUUCUAAUUAGAACCCGCACGGUCAUUGAAAUUAGUCCUUAUGACUGAAAGGGUAGAUUUUAAGAUGCAACACAAAGGAGCAGAAGAAGUAAAAUGCUAUAAUGUCUGUUUGUAGAACUUAAUUAAAAUGGUGGGCUCACAUGUUCUUUGUACACCAUAAUUGUAGCCACAACUUUUGCUCACCUGCACUAAUGAUUCAAAAGAGUCCUUUUCCCCCCUCCCCCCUUUCGGCUUUGGCUUUUACUUGCUCCAAAUUUCAUGCUUUAAUUAAAAAAAAUAAAAUUGUAAUUCAUAUAAAAAGGUAAACCACAAAUGACAUUUCUCUCCUAGGUUUGAACAUAUUAUCGAUUUUAUUCCUAAUGUUUCAUAAUUAAACACUCACGUCCUUGAUUUCAUAUUGUAUUUUUAUUUUGAACAAUUAUGAUUUUAUAGAGAGGAGGAAGAGGUGGGUCUUUGAACUCGAGACUCAUUCGACUGUAUUAAUUAUUAUCUAUUUUCGCUAGAUUUAAUGAUUAUUUUUCUUUUUUAAAUAAGAAGGAUAGAGCAAUUAGUAUGAUAGAGGAAAGAUGCAAUUUUCUCAAGAUUAAAAGGAAAAAUGAAGCUUUCAAUUUUGAUGCUCCAGGGACUUUGAUACCUUCUAGAUGUUUAUAAAACUUUUUAAUUUGAAAAAAAAAAAGAACACUUGGAUUAAAUUGGCAUAGUAAGAUUGCCAAUGGGUGAUCAUGAGGAAACCAAGGCAAGCCAAUUUCUAUGCUCUUGGUCCACCUUAGCAUAUAAUAUAUUAUCUUAUGCAAAAGGGUGAGGAAGCUGAAAUAACUACUCAAAUGUGUUCCUAUGCACUGCCACCUUUCUUGAGGCAAGUCUCAUAAUCAAUUCUUCAAGUGGCAAUCUCAUUAUUUGUUCUAAGAAAGAAAGAAAAGAUAAAGAGUAAAUCUCAUAUUCGGAAAAUAGAGAAUUUACAAGAGAAAAAUAUCUUAAAACAAGGCCACAUUUAGGAUAUUUUUGCUUUUUUCAAAACCCAACUGACAGCUCUUGGUGACAGGUAGAAGAUGAAGUAUUAAGCAUGCUAAACUUUAAGGAAUAUUUUAAACAUCGGAUCAAUGCAUGGCCAGAAAACAUGGGAAUUUGCUGUUUUGUCAUUUCCAUGUCUAAUUUAAUCCCGAAAUUUAGGUGAUAUACUUGUUCUUGGGUUCGACAAAAAAGUGCAAUUUUCAAUGAAAAAAAUCGUGUCAUUUUGGCUCAAAGCAUGAAAUUUAAUACUAAUAAUAGUAGAGUGCUAAACCAAGAAAAGGAAGCCAUGCCUUUUCAUUGGCUACAUGCAGAUACAAAUUAAGAAUCAAGAACAGAGAAAUAAAAGGAAAAGCAAGUGAUCAAAUCAUACCAAGUACUAGAUUAGCCAACUGUUCUGUACAUAGAUACAUCAUUAGUCAUAAACUAACCUACCAGUCAUCCAUGCUGAUGCCGCAGAAAAGCAAGAUUUGAUGGGUUCAUCAUUACCGCCUGAUCGUGCAAUCCUGAGUUAUGAUUAAUCCAACAGUCAUCUUUCCAAUACCAAACCUGCUAAUUAUGACUGGUACUAUACCAUGUUUGGUUGAAGUGACAUGUAUUUGUGCACACAAUUGAGUAUUUUCUAAUACUUAAGUUCUCUAAUUUAGCUGUUAUUCUUCCGUAUUUUGCCUCAAAAUCUAAUCAGUUCACAUGCUUCUUAUUCUACUCAUUCCUAAUACUUAUGCUUGUUGAUGCUUGUUAAAAUCUUAAAAAAUUAAAUCAAGAUUCUUAGAGUACUGGGUGCCAGUAAUUGUUUAUCAACCAGGCCAUUAGGGAGUGAUCCAUUCUCAUUUGUAAAAACUGAGAAAGUUUUAUAAUGUAGCUGCUGUACCUCUAAUGAAUAAAAGGAAAUUUAAUUUCUUCCAAAAGCUUAGAUUGGAUUAAAGAAAAAAAAGCAUUACAUUAAUCUCUUGUAUAAAGCAAGCUUAAGUUGAGGUACUGUGGCUCUCAUCAUAACAUGUAAUCCAACUCAUCCUCCUAAUUUAAACUUUCGCAAUGCUUUACACAUAAUACAGACUUAAAUUAAGCUAAUCUUUAUUGUAGGUAUCUUUCAGUAGCCAUGAUUACAUCUCCCAAAAGCACUGCAACCUUCAGGAAUCCUGCAAAUUUAAUUUCUCAAAAUCCAAACCUUGUUAAAAAUAAAUAAAUAAACAAGUGAAUAAAAAUAAAGGCAAACUUCUCAUCUCUCACUACCUUUCACCGAAAAGUGGAAGCACACCAACAUAGUCUUGACUUUAGAUUAAGGGCACAUUAUAAACACUCAUUAAAGUAUAUUUCAAAAUCCAUAUCACUACUUCUUAAUCUUUGCAUGGGUUCAUGUGACUUUCACUCCACUCUUUCUACCUUUCUCUUUUUCCACCAUAGAGAAAGAGUGACAUGUGUCCUGAACAAAUCUUUGUUUUAGCAUAUGAAUAAUAAAAUCUUUGUUUUUGGGUUGUACCUGACAAAGAGAGAUAGUUUGUUAAAAACAGUUAGAUUCUUUCAAAGAGAGAGACAUUUGUUAGUGGGGAUGCUGUGGUAGUGCUGCAGGCCUUUCAGUAGAGAAAUCUAAGGCUGAUUUUGCCAUUUUCUUCCUUUUUGUUCAUUUAGAAGAGAUGGGUGUCGUUACUGUUGCCGAGUUGAAGCCAAGUAUAUCAGGGAAGAGAUCGUUUCGUCCAAGUUCCAGCAUAAGGCAUGCUACUGAAUGGUAAUCUUCAUUCCUCUUAGCUUCUUGUCUCACUACAAUGCACAUAUAUGUAGCCCAAGAAUGGAAAAUUAUUAUGGAAUUAAUAGAUGCGGAGUCGUGAAUGCUGCAGUUACAGUAUUCUUUUUUAAUGGAUGGGGAUGCACUCUUUCUCCCUUUGCUGGGAAAAUGUUUUUGAUGUUGGAUUCUUGGGAAUAAAGAGAUCAAUUAAUCCAGGAUCUUUCAAGUAAUUUCGGAAAAAAAAAAAAAAAACAGAAAAGAAAAGGGUAAUGCAGAGUCCAAUAGUUUUUGAAUCCAUAUUCUGGUGGAUUUGACAAUUUUCUAGAGAAAUGGAGCUUUUGUCAACAUAAGUUAAAGUGAUACAUUUUCUUUUCGUUCUUUGUAUUUAUUUUUAUGGCAAAGUGAAUUUCUUGAAACAGAUAGAAACUUGGAUCAUGGUUUAUUACCUAAUUUAGUAUUUUCAACUUGAUUUUUGCUGGUCUUUUAUGAUACCAGUCUAACAAUUUUGCAAAUUUUUGGAUUUGAUUUGUCAAAAGAAGAAUCUGAUACAAGUUAAAAAAACAAAAUAAAAGGAGGAAAGCCCAAAAAAAGAAGUCUUUGUUGAGACGAAUUUAUUAAGCUUUCCUUAAAGUUCCCAACAGUCGGCCAUUCUUGGUAGGACCAAGAAAUUUUAUGGGCUUCUCAAUAUCUGAUCAUCCUCAAUUAAUAUGAAGAAAACUAUACUUCACCAUAUCAUUUCAAAGAGCAUGCAUAGGCCAUAGAGUAUGACAGGUUGCAAAUUUUCCACUUGAAGGGAAACUGCAUUAGGCUUAUUUUAUGCAUUAUCAACUACUAUUAAUGUCUUGCCUCUCAAACCAUUUGACUGUUUUUACUGUUUUUAUAGGCCCUUUUAUAUGUUCAGAAGAAUUCGUGCAAUAGUUCAUUUGAUCACACAAACAAUCACAACCACUUAUUAUCCAUCUUAUGGUUGGCAAUUGAGCUUGUGCGCACAUAAUCAUUUCUGAUCUAAUAUAUCUGUAUGACUCGGUAAAAAUUUUCCAAAUUGUUUCCGGUUGCAAAAGCGAGUCUGCAGUAUUUUGCAGUUAGGGAGUAACACAGCCUUGUUGUAAACUGUACUGCUUGGCCACAGCCACUCAUUCUGUAAUAAUUGAGUUGUCAUUUAUCCAAUCUGGGCCAUCUAUGUCUGAUUCAGAAUACCAAGAAGAUCACAUUGCCCAUGGGUGGUUUAUUGAUGAUUGAUGGUAGAACAGCCCUUUUUAAGCUAUUGGAAGGUCUCUCUUUCUAUGGAUAGAUAGAAAGUACCCCUUUGAAUGAACCUGUUAAUUGGAAAGUCAUGGUUACAAAAAAGGGAGUUCAGGUCUAUAGCAGUAGAACUUCUUAUAUGGUCUCUAAAUUAUUGGCACUAACAAACAUGUACGCGAUGCAUCAUUUAUUUCCCUUUUCUUUUGAAUUUUCCUGUCUCUCUCUUUGAAGUCCUACUUCAAUCAUUCUACCAUCUUGCAGGCCAAUUUCUGAUGUUUCCAGUGAUCUUACAGUAGAAAUUGGAGCAUCAAGCUUUGCACUUCAUAAGGUAAGGAACAUAUAUUUAGUUCAUUAGUUUGGUACUAUAACACCAUUGGAACAGCUUUCCCUUCACCUUGUUCUUCAGAGUUUUGUGCAAGUUUAUGUGAAGAAGAAAACGAGGGCAGAGCUUUAUAUAUGGUUCAAAUUAUUUUUGCAGUUCCCCCUCGUUUCUCGAAGCGGAAGGAUUCGAAAAUUGUUGUUGGAAGCUAAGGAUUCAAAAGUUUCGCGCAUCAGUAUAGCUUGUGUUCCUGGAGGAGCAGAAGCCUUUGAGCUUGCGGCAAAAUUCUGCUAUGGUGUAAAUGUUGAGAUUACACUAUCAAAUGUUGCUAUGAUAUUGUGUGCAGCCCAUUUCCUGGAAAUGACAGAAGAUUUUGCGGAGAAAAACCUGGAAGCUAGAGCUGAAGCUUAUCUAAAGGAGAUGGUGCUACCAAAUAUAUCCAGUUCGAUAUCUGUCCUUCAUCGAUGCGAAACUCUCUUGCCUAUGUCAGAAGAGAUCAACCUGGUUAACAGGCUUAUAAAUGGAAUUGCUAGCAAUGCAUGCAAAGAACAACUUACCUCUGGCUUGCUAAAACUUGACCACAACUUCCCAUCAAAGGAGACAAACAUGGAACCAGAAACACCUUCAGAUUGGUGGGGCAAAUCGCUCGCAGUCCUGAAUCUUGAUUUCUUCCAAAGGGUUUUAUCAACAGUAAAAUCGAAGGGUCUGAAACAGGAUAUGAUCAGCAAGAUUUUGAUAAAUUAUGCCCAUAACUCUCUUCAAGGCCUUGUAGUGAGAGACCCUCAUUUGCUUAAAGGAAGUCUCUUAGACUUGGAAUUGCAAAAGAAACAAAGGGUAAUUGUUGAAGCAAUAGUCAGCUUACUACCAACCCAAUCAAGAAAAAGUCCAGUCCCAAUGGCUUUUCUUUCAAGUUUGUUGAAAACUGCAAUAGCAGCAUCAGCAACGACAUCUUGCAGAUCCGAUUUGGAAAGGAGAAUUGGUCUUCAACUAGAUCAAGCAAUUCUUGAAGAUAUCCUAAUUCCAGCAAAUUCACAUGGUAAUAGCCACAGUACUCUGUAUGAUACAGAUUCGAUCUUGAGGAUCUUCUCUAUGUUUCUCAACUUAGAUGAGGAUGACGACGAAGACAAUCACUUGCGUGAUGAAAGUGAAAUGAUUUAUGAUUUCGACAGUCCUGGAUCUCCUAAGCAGAGCUCAAUUCUUAAAGUAUCAAAGUUGCUAGACAAUUAUCUUGCAGAAGUUGCACUAGACUCAAACUUGAUGCCAUCAAAGUUCAUAUCACUAGCAGAAUUACUUCCUGACCAUGCUCGCCUAGUCAGUGAUGGACUGUAUAGGGCUGUCGAUAUCUUCCUCAAAGUUAGUAACUUUUUAACCUCUCGUGAUCUCUUCCAAUUUCAGGAUCUUCCAAACUGAAUUCCGAUUCUUCCAUGUUCAUAUUUCUUACAGGUUCAUCCAAACAUUAAAGAUUCAGAAAGAUACAGACUUUGCAAGACAAUAGACUGUCAGAAAUUAUCUCAAGAGGCCUGCAGCCACGCAGCUCAAAAUGAAAGAUUACCAGUGCAAAUGGCAGUUCAAGUGCUAUAUUUCGAGCAAAUCAGGCUCAGGAAUGCAAUGAAUGGAGGGCAUAAUCAGUUCUUUUUUGGUGCAAUGAAUGGUCAAUUCCCUCAACGUUCAGGCAGUGGUGCAGGAAGCGGAGCAAUCUCUCCGAGAGACAACUAUGCAUCUGUCCGAAGAGAGAAUCGAGAAUUGAAACUCGAAGUUGCAAGAAUGAGAAUGAGACUGACCGAUCUUGAAAAAGAUCACGUGUCCAUGAAACAAGAACUUGUAAGGACUCAUCCUGCAAAUAAGUUGUUCAAAUCAUUCACUAGAAAAUUAAGCAAGCUAAAUUCCUUAUUCAGAAUUAAUGGUCUUAAGCCUAUAGGAGGAGGAAAGGCUAAUUCAGAAUCAAGAUUCUUGUUUCAGAAAAGAAGGCGUCACUCGGUUUCUUGACUACUGUAAAUGUCUACAAGUUUCUUUUUUUUUCUUUUUAAAAAAAAAGGGGUGUAUAGUACAUUAGCAGUACUUACUUGGUAAGUGUAGUGUGAUAUGGUCUAAUGUCAGAUUUGGUGGUUUGGGAAUUUGGAGUGUUGGUUUUGAGUUGCCAUUGUUUAGUGAGAAUAUUGCUCCCUUAACCUCUCUGUUUUUUCCCAUGGACGCCUGGAAAUUUUUUUACAAUACUAUAGAAGCUUUUAACAAUGUUGGAACAAUUUUAACUUGAGAAAUGAAAGUUAAGAAACUUAAUAUGAAUAAUUGUUGUACGAUGUAGUUUUGGCAGAAUUCAAUUAAGAAUGCGAGUGUAUGGAAGAUAGUGGGCAAUAGGCAUGCGCAAUCACUAGGACAAAACGUCACCAAUUGUGUGCUUCCCUCUUCAUUACUUCUUGAUGAAUGAUGAUUGCACAUACUAAAAGAUAUCAGUCCCAAUAUACAAGACAAAAGUAUAUAAAGUAAUUGAAGAAAGUUUGUCGGUGAAUCCUAAAGCCACUCCGGGAUUGAGAUCCUCUUAUGUCCGUAUUCAACACAUUGAACAUCAGCUGUCGUGUUAUGUUAUUUUCAUUUUUAUAUUAUAUAUUAAAUUCAAUUAUUUAUUACUUAUCAACAAGGACUCCAUGGCCCAAUGGAUAAGGCGCUGGUCUACGGAACCAGAGAUUCUGGGUUCGAUCCCCAGUGGAGUCGAUUUUCUUUUUUGGUUAAAUAUUUCUAGACGUCGCGUUUAUUGACUAAUCAGUUGCAUUACUGACUGUGACUGCACGUAAAUGCACACACGACAUCGUUUUCUCUCAAAAAUUUAAGCCACAAAAUAAAAAAAUAAAAAAGGUCACAUUCAAUUCAACCGUUUCCCAGUGAAAAACCCCAACUUCCUUCCCUCACUUUCGUCAUCGUGGUGAGUCUUGUAUCUCGACGGCGUCCCAUCGGCGAUAGCUUAAAAGAGAGAUGAGAAUAUCUUUUUCAGCUCUCGGCAACUCGUUGCCGUUUUCAAGAAUCUUCAGGUACAUUUUCUUUUGGGUCUUUUGCCGAUUAGGGUUUUUAAUCUUCUCUAGACAAUACAGAAGACGAGAUUUGAAAUCUUUAAGUUAAUAGCGAAUUGAAUCGAGAAGUUAACUAGUGAUUUAUUGAAUUAAUUGUAUUGUAAUUGCAAUAGGCAGGUUGAACAAGAAAUCGAAACAGUGGUAAAUGUACUGCAGCCAGGACCAUUGGGUAUAGUAGAACACAAAUUCUCUGCAGAGGAGAUACGUGACGCUAAUGCUACGGUUCAGAGAGCAGUCAUUACUUGGCGAAGAAAUGCUAAUCUUGAGCAUCAGAAUGAUAUUCUUAAAGAUUUUAUUCACAAGUAGAAACACUUAUUUUGCUCACAAAAAAGAAAAAGAAAAAAAAGAAACACUUUGCUGCACAUUUAUACAUCAAAUCAGUUUUGCAGACUUUGACAUAGAUUGUCUAAUUUGGUUUCUUUUAUUACUAUUAUUAUUCGUUCGUUAAUGAAUUUUUAAUAAUAAUGUCACAAAUGAUGCAUUUUCUUUUUUCAUUCAGUUUUAUCCUUUUUCUUCCCAUGAUGAUUGAAACAUGAUACUUGCUUGUUAGUGGAGUAAUUUCUGCUGAUAGAGUGCAAGCCCAAGGUUUGUGGUGAGGUUCCGUGGGCUGGUUAAUGAUGGAUCGGUGUAAUCAUUCCCAUACUAAAUGGGAUUUUCUGAAUUUGUAAGUUACUCGAAACUCGGUUCAAGCUUACUUGAGCUCGUUCAGCAAAGCUUGUUUAAUAAAUGAGUCAAUCUCAAGUUUAACAAAACUCAGACUGGUUAGGCUCGGAUCCUCCUUAUUUACAGGCUACGUAAUUUAACUCUUUAAUUAGUAUUUUAAUAAUUUAAAAUUAAAAUAUAAAAUUUAUUUGUCUUUACUUAUAUUAACAAAAACUCCGACUCGGUUCUGCUUGAUUAUUCCCUUAUUUAGAGAUAUCACAGCCCUGAUUUUAACAUGUUGCUGUUGCUGCCUAUUUCAUUAUCUUUGCAGUUUCUUUAAGCUCGCAAGUUUCUGCUUUUCCUGUAUCUUACGUGCAAUAAUAUCUUGCUAUAUACUUAUCAUCAACAGUUGCUAUUUCCAAAUUCCGAUAUAGUUCAUGCGAUUUUGUUUGUUUUCAGGAUAUGAUUAUUCUAUUUGUUUCAUACACAAGAAUUUUUGGUCGCAAACUUAUUGUCAAGUCUGUGCAUGAACUUUACUGAACGGAUCAUUUAUCAGCUUAAGCAAACAUUCAUUUACAUUGAUAAACAAACAUGAAUUAGAAAAUUCUUCUGAUAUUCACGAAUAUCCUGCCUUGUUUGCAAUCUUAUUGUCUGUAAAUCUGUAUGGUUGGUUACCUGACAAGGAAGAUUGACUGCUAUAUGUGUGUUUCUCGCCAAAUACUUGUAUUAAUGGAUGAAAUUUCAACGAGUUGCUACAAGCAUGAAAAAGAAGAUGGGUGAACAUGCAUCACAGCUGGCUAAUCCUUCUGUUUGGGUGCACAACAGAUAAAUUCUCCAAAUAUUAUCAUUUCAGGGGAGAUUAGAAGAUGAGAAUCCAAGAGAAUGCUACUCAUCUGGCCCAGAAAAGACAACAUUUUGCUUAAAACUAAGGAUCAAAUAAUUCCCUGGACUAUGCACCUAUUUUAGGUGAAUUGUUUUCUUCUUUGCCUGUUCACGUGGUUAAUUGCUGUUUUUGUGCUUCAUGUGAGCAUUUUGAAGCAAAAUGUGAGCAACACGUGUUCAAAUGAUGUGAUUGCUAUUAUGCAUAUGGCCCCUAGCCAAGCAUUUUCUUUUUCUAUUUUCUCCAAAGAAUGAAGAAUCUGGAGUGUGAGUUUUGCUUUUAGCUUAAGAAGCAGUUGAUGAAAUCUUCAUCAGGUGUUUUUCUGCAGUGUUUCAUAAACAUUGAAUUUGCAUCUCACUAGGGUAGGUCAUUGCGUGAGACUUCCGUGGUUUGUCUUCCCCAGUAAUAUAUGUAAGCUGUUAAGCACUUAUUUCUGGGUGUCUUCGUCCUGUCUAGAAAUUUUGUGUAGUGCUCUUUUCUGUAACGUACUCAUGAACUCUUAGUUAAUGAUAGACAGGUAAUUCAGGGAUUAGACUUUUUAUGAUGCUUAUUUUACAUUAAUUCAUGACCAGAUCGCUAGACACUUCUGAAACUGCAAAACUUGGAGGACAUCAUGAUAUGAUUAGAAAACUUAUACAAACAGACUGAUCUACGAUGAAAGGAAUUAGCAGUUGCAGGUGCCAAGGAACUAAAGGAUAUCGACUCUAUUAUUUAAGCAUGUAAAUCAUCAAAGCAUGUUAUGGCAAUGAAGAAUGGAAGACGUGUUCACAACGUUGUCUUUUUCCAAAUAGAAAAUCCUCUCUUCACUCUCCUUGUAGCACUUUCGUUUUGUUUGGUAGACCCAUUCUUUCCAGCCCCUGUUAUUCUCAGGGUACAUUGCAAAUAUGCUCUCUCUGUUAUACACGUACACACUCGAAAAUGUUUGAUCAUCAGAAUGUAGGCCAGAAGUAUCAAUAAUAUAUCUUUAUUAGUUGGAUAGUACAACUGGAAGUUAAAGUACAAGCUCUUGAUUUCAGUAAACAGAAAAGAGUAUGCUCCUGCCAAGCCUAAAAAAAAACACAAGUGAAUAAACUUUAAGCUGGGCUGGAUGUCAACAGCCAUACCUAUUAUCAUUUUAUACCACUAACAGGGAAAAGGACGUGCCAAAAAAGAAAACAAGAAAAAGAAAACUUAUUAAAGCUUUGUUUAGCUCCAGCAGAGGUAUGCUAUUUCCGGAAAGAAAAUACUUAACCCUAAAUCCAAAUAGCCCCUGCAUCAAUAAGCAAUGGGAUGAGCUGGUUCUGGACAUGCAGACUCAUCACCUGCUUUUCACCACCAACCAACUUUUGCCCUAUAAACACAGAUGGUACACUUGGUUGGCACCCCAACUGCAUCAGCGUCCUUUCAAUUUGCUGUCCGUUUGGGAUUCUGUCGAGCUCAUAAACUGUUGGAUUUGCUCCAAAUCCACAUAUCAGCGACUUGAUGGUAUGACUCAUGCAGCAGGAACUCUUGCUGAAUAUCACUACAGGCUUCUCCUUAACCAACCUAUUCACCAUUUCCAUUGCUAAGAAGAUUGUAGGAAUUGGCAAUGUGGGUAUUAUGAAACUUGUUGAGAAAGUUUACUUAAGAGGCUUGUUUUCUUCUGUGAGGAAAUAGAACAUAUAUGGUGGUCUAUUUAUACAGGCAAAAAUUGACAGGGUAGAUUUUUGAGAAUAGAAUAUCAAGGGUGAAAGAAUAAACUGUUCUGACAGACGUGUCAUCAGAUACCCUCAUCACCUUUUAUGAUUAAAUGAUAAAGACUUGCCUAUCCGCAAUUUUUAUUUUAUUAACAAGUUUCAGAUAUAAAGGUUAUUAGAUUAACCUGUAAAUUAUGUCAAUCAUCGGAAGGAACAAUAUAACCCCAAAGUACUCUUUUGCAGAUAACAGAAGGUUAACCGACCAUCCUGUAAUAGAAACUAGAUGCUUUCUCUAGUUUUCCUAUCUCAUUUGCUGUAACAUUAUGUUUUUGGCACAUCAGAAAUUCUUUAAAGGGAAAACAGCUUAUCGGUUUAAACCCUUUUUUAUGUUCUUAUAUUACUGUUGGAGAGUAUAAAACUAUUACUAAUAUUCUAAGCUUUUGAAUGAAAUGGUUAUAAUUAAAGGAUUUACAGUGUGCUUCCUAAUUGUCCCAUCUUACUGAUUAAGAUUUCAGCUUUAAGCUUUAUAGACAUUAAAAUAUAAAAAGUAUUAAGACUAUUGGCCACAUAAUAACUUAAGCUUUAGAUAAAACAGUUAUUUAACCAUCACCAGAAGAGGCAAACAGUUGACUGUUGAGUUGAUAACUUAAUGCUUAUAUGCGUAAAUGAAUUCUUCAAACUAAGCAAAUAGGAUUUUCCUUUUCCUUUAAGUUAAAUGAUCUUUUUCUGUGUCUCAACAUCAGAGAACCCCUGCUUCUAUCUAUUUUUAAGCAUCUACUGAGGUGGAGAAAGAAUAGGGUUUAUCCAAUUGGUUAGCACUUUCUUCCCCAUGGCAAGAUUCCCUUAAGCUGCUGAAUUCAAGAAGGCGGAAAGCUCAAAUAAAUGAAGACAUUUUCAUGAAAGAAUUGAAAUUAUGUCUUUUCAAAAAGGCAAUCUGGCCUUAGUAGGAGGUAAGAUCACAAAAAUCCACUUAAAGGCCGUACAAGAAGGAGAAAAAGAUAGAUAUUUAGAUUCCUUGAACCCCACAGCAUUUAUCUAUUUAUAGACAUUGCACAGUACAUCUAUAGUGCUGAUCAAGAUAUAAAAUUGCUCGUAUUUUAAAUUAUUAUAAUUAUCACUAUUAUCAUGUUAAUCUUGAAGGAUAAAAGAAAAGAAGGUGUAUUAUUUUAUAUGUAGACAUCCAAUGGUGGGUUAGUGAGUGGCUAAUAUGAAUUGCCCAAAAGGGCAUGCAAAAAGACUAGAAUCCCUUAACUUAUUAAUUGGGAGAGAAUCUCUUCUUUGAUUCUUGCAACAAAGAUCUUUCAUUGCACAUAAAGAAAGCUCAAAUUACUUUUUAGUCAAUGGUAAGUGUUUGAAACAUAGGUAAUUAUGACUUUUAACUUUCAAGUAAUUAGCUAGAAAGUUAGUGGACGUGAUUUUAACCAUUAGUUCCAUGAGAAUGAAAUAGCAACCAUCCUUUUUUUUUAUGCUGAAAUGAUGAAUCCUCGUAAGCAUACUACAAAAGGAGACCAAGAUUUGGAGUAUGUUUAAAGCAUUAAGAAAAAAGGAAUGGCAGUCCACACCUCUCUGCAAUAUACUAUUUUCUUCAACAUCUUUAUUUGCCAAUUCUUAUAAUAUGGACUCCGGUCCAUGUAGCUUUAUGAAUUCAGUGUUCAUGGAGUGCCAUUUUGAUUCAUUUGAAGUUGUUAUCACACGUCUGAAGUUUUAAUUAUUUGCCCUGCAAUUGAAACUUUAAUUCUUCAAUUUUUUAUUUCUAUAACAGAAAUCUUCCAUCUAACUCAUUUAUUUCUUCUUCUCGCUUUCUUCUUGAUUCGUCCUUCUUGUUUUCUUCUUUUUUCCUCAUUCAUUGCAAUCAUCUUUUUCUUUUGUACAAGUUUUUGUUUGCAAAUUUUUUUUCCUGCUGCAAUUGUUCAUUAAUGCUUGAAAACGUAUUUAUAUUUUUUUCAUUGUUGGAUUGAAGAAGCUUUUGGAGAAUGGAGAACAAUUUACAAAUGAGUAAUGUACAAAUAAUAUCAAUAGAUAAAUCACCAGUUGAAAGUAUUAAUUCAUAUAAAAAGUCAGGUAAAAUUAUUUUAUUGUUUGACAGUUUUUUUAAAGAUGAAUGUUCUUUAUGUGCUACAUAAAUGCUCAUUAUUUCGAGUUACAAUGUUCAUUAUUUUUGUUUGCAGUUGACUGUGGACCUAAUUCUUCUGGUGAUGAAUUAUUGAAAAUGUCUGUGAAGUCUGCUGAUGAAGCUUAUUAUUUAUAUAAUGAUUAUGCACUUAAAAUUGGUUUUGGUAUGGGAAAGAGUAAGCAAAUGUAUAGAGCAGAUGACAAAUUAUUAACAAAGAAAAAAUUUAUUUGUUCAAAGGCUGGUAUAAAAAAAAAAGGUAGACAAGAAAAAUAAACGUUUCUCAGAACUUGAUAUUUGUACUGGUUCUUAAGCUCUUAUAGAGUUCUAUGUUGAUAAAGAAGGAGUUUGGACUAUAAGCAAACACCGAAAAUAGCAUAAUCAUGACCUAUAAAUGUUUCUCAGAACUUGAUAUUUGUACUGGUUCUUAAGCUCUUAUAGAGUUCUAUGUUGAUAAAGAAGGAGUUUGGACUAUAAGCAAACACCGAAAAUAGCAUAAUCAUGACCUAUGUCCACAUAGUAAAAUCCACCUUAUUCUUUCUCAUAGAAAAUUACAAAAACCAGUUUGAUUAUCUUAAUGAUUUAAAAAGAAGUGGAGUUGGAGUGGCUGAUGGGACUAGAUUGUUGAAAAACUAAUAAGGAGAAUCACCAUUGGUUGGAUUUACAGCAAGGAAUACUUAUAAUCAUUUGGCGUUGCAAAAUAUGAACAAAUUGGAUAAUAGUGAUUUGAAUGCUCUCAUUGAAAUUUUCAGAAAAGAACAAUCCAAUGAAAAUGAACUUCUUUUUUUAAUUUUGAGGUUGAUAGUAAAGCAAGAUUAUGCAGCUUUUUUUGGAGAGAUGGGCAAAUGAAACAAGAUUAUGAGUUGUUUGGAGAUCUGUUAUUCCAUGAUACUACAUAUCAUACUAACAAAUAUGAUAUGAUUUGUGGUCCUUUUGUAGGUAUUAACCAGCAUUACUUAAUUAAUUUUAUUUCACAUUAUAUUCAUUCUAGCAUCUUAUAAUGUUUAUUAUGAUCCGAUCUAUGGGCCCAUAUGACUGACGCUAGGGAAUGGUAGGCUUAAAAGCCUAACUAAUCAAUAAUUCAGAUAAACGGAUAUAUAUAUAUAUAUAUAUAUAUAUAUAUAUAUAUAUAUAUACCAAUAAUUCAUUCACAUAAUCACAACUCAAUUAAAUUAAUCCAUCAGCUUGAGUGCUUAAAAUUUUCUAUAGUUUAACUGACCAAAAUGAAUGUUAAAGUUCUGGAACCACUACUGCGGACAGUCUAGAUUUUUAAAUAGUUCAAAAAGUAAAAGAAAGAAAAUUAAUUACAAUAGGCCUGAAGGAGGAAGGAAGUUGGACUGUUUGGAAAAAGACGGCGGAGGAUCUAGCUGUCAUUUGAAAAAUCAAAAUUGAGACUGUCAGUUUCAAGAGUGAGUUAAAAUUGCAUAAUCCAAGUAAAUACAACAAUCUUGGUGAAAUAUUUGUUUUAUUAAAAUAAAUCAUAUUAUUAUAUUAAAACAUGUGUCAUGUCAUAUUUCAAAAAAAUAUCAUUUAGCAUGUACGAGACAAGUACCUCAACAAAAUCCUGGACUCCAAUACUAUUAGCCAAUUUGCUCUCUUAUUCCAAUAAGAGUGGCGCCCAGAGAGCGAAGCUCAACCAGGGUCCUUAAAUCCAGUUUGGACACUUAAUUUCCAAUUUAUCCGGCACCUAAAGAGUAAUGUUGGACCAGAGACCUUUCCUUCGGCAACCAAAUUUCCACAGCCCAAAGAGUUAUACUCGACCAGGACACAUCACAAAAAUAUUUCCUUAUUACCUGUCUCUGAUUUAUACUGGUGCACACGUGGUACCGAUACAACCUAUCAGGUGGCAUGUUCUAUUGCCGCCUCAUUCUGAGUCAUAAUACAAUCAUAACAUUAAUAAUAUGAAAAAUUGUAUAGAUCGCAGGAAUUCUUAAUAUUAUUCAAUAAAUUAUUAAGUAUUUAAAUUAAAUAGCAUCGAAUAUAUGGAUCGCUAUAAUAAUAAUAAUGAGAUUUAUGAUGGUAAAAUAAUAAUUAAAUAAAUGAUAAAUAAAUAAAUCAAGAAAUAAUUAAUUAAUUAAUUAAAUAUAUAAUAAAUAAUAAAAAAUUUAGACAAUAUCCAUAAUAACAAAAAAUAGUUAAUAAUGAUAAUAAUACUAAUAAUAUUCGUAAUAAUUAUUAACAAAAAAUGUUGCAUUAAAAUUUGGCAUGGCACAUAUGCAAACAUUAUAUAACUUUAACUCAUAGUUCUGACGACCCCUUGCUCUGCUUCUAUGCCUCAGGUGGAGCUGACUGAAUCGACGGGUUAUCUAUUCACGGAAAUAAUACAAUCAAUAAAAAUAAAAUAUUUAGUAAACAACCCUAAGCCUAGACUCCUAGAAUUGACUGCUUAAAGAAAUUCCGACUGAUUCGACUUAGAAAUUCUACCAAAAAUUUGGCAGAAUCUUUCAUAAAAUAUAGACUGUUAACCCCCGUAAAACGGGUCCAAAUCCUGCUAAAAAACACUUCAAAUAUUCAUUACAUAAUUAUUAGGAAUCGAGUCACCCAUAACUGCAUUAUUUUUCCGACUCUACAAUACAACACAGAUCUCAAUUAAUAAUAGACAGUCCAAUAUUAGCAUUUAUUUCACAACUAGUUCACAAAUAAUUCUUGGUAUCUAAUUUAAUUAUUCGCAACCAUAAUGAUCGCAAAACCAAAUAAUAACUAAUCAUACUAAUUAAUUCAUAAUAUUUAUAAUUAAAUUAUUAAUUAAUUAAAUCUAAUUAAAUUAUUUAUAAUUGAUAAUUAAUAGUAAUAAGAUUUCUUAAAAUUCUAAAAUAAUUUUUAAGAUCCAAAUAAAAUUUAGUGCACGUCUAAAAAAACACCGGAGUCCAAAAGCCGGUACAAAAAACGGUGUCAGAGUUCGAAUCUGAAGGUGCCUACGUGAAGCUUGAGUUGUGAGGAGUCUGAAUAUACAAUUGUUUCUAUUGAAAUCUCGCCGGAAGCCACCGGAUCGAGGCCAGAAAGUUUUGGCUCCGGUGAAGCUCAUACACCAGGAGAGGAAGGAGAACCUAAUUCAUCUCUUAAAAUUCCUCAUAAAGGCCAUAACCAACUUCUUUAGUUAUGUACCCGCCUUUCUCUAUUUUGAGUAAUCCCUCAUACUCGUCAAGUAAAGCCUCACUUUGAUCACUUAUCUGCAUCUCGUGCAAUCAACAUGCUUUGGUUGAGAAAGACCCCUCAAAAUAAUGCUCCUAACCAAAUGGCGUUCCCUCAUUAAUAGGAUCCGACUCGGAAUCCCCCCUUUGCAUGACCUAGAAAGAAAAAAAGUCCGUUGGGGGGAGAAAAACAGGAAAGAAGGGUUGCCUUGGUUUUUUGGAGUCUAGGACCCCGUUUCCAGCAUCAGAUUGAUGAAGGGAUGUCAGGAGGAGGUCGAACCGGUGGUGGCAGCGGGGAGACGUCUUCUCCUCCCUGCUGCAGCGGAAUCUAGUGAGAGUGAAGGGAAGUGAGCGGCGCCGGCUAAAAAGGAAGAAGGAUAGAGGCGUUUAUCGGUGGCUGGUGGUAAGGGACGACAAAAAUGAGGAUGAGGAUGGGGCUGUGUGGCGGGGAAGGAAGGAGGAAGGAGAGGAAAAAAGAGAGAGAGAGAGAGAGAGAGAGAGUGAGAGGCCUCAAUGCAUAUUCUUUCCUUCUUCUUCUUUUUUUUUUUUUUAAAAAUUUCGCUCUAGUCCCCCGUCUUAAUUGAGCUACAAAAACACCCCCACUUAAAAUACAUUACAUUUAUAUGAUAAUUAGUCACAACAAUUUAACUUAAUAAAAUUACACUUAUUUAUUUAAAUUCACAAAUCAAUAUUAUAUAAUUAUUUGAAAAUGUUAAAUUAAAUAGUACUCGUUUAUUCAUGAGAAAUAUUAAUUUAUCAAACUGCCCCCGAAAACUAAUGCAAUUAAAAUUUUAAAAAAAUUUACGGGUGUUAAAAUGUUCAUGACUAAUAUCUCUAAUAUUCAUAUGUUUAGUAUAUCUUAUAGAUAUUUAAUGUUCAUUUUGAUUCUUUUAAUCAUCAUGAACAUUUAAUAUUAUUAUAGUAAAAUAUUUGAUUUUAUUUUUUUGUAGGUAUGAAUCAUCAUUAUAUGAAUAUUAUGUUUGGAUGCGAUUUUCUUAUUGAAUGAGAGAAUUAAGUACUUCGUUUAUCUUUUCAACGCCUUUUUAAGAUUUACAGAAGGAAAACAUCCAUAAACAAUAAUGACAUACCAAUUUUCUGCCAUGGCUGCUGCAAUUGCUGAAGUAUUUCCUAACUCAUGCCAUAUACUUUGCAUAUGGUAUAUAAGAGAGAAUUCAAAGAAAAAUAUUAAAUCCGUAAGAAGUGAGAAAUAGUUUGUAGAUUUGUUCAACUUUUUAUUGAAAUAUAUUGGUACAAUGGCUGAGUUUGAGUUUUAUUGGACCAAACACAUAAUUUUGUUUGAUUUUAAUUUAUAUGCACUAAAAUGUUCAUUGCAAAUGUAUAUAAUGUUCAUUUAAUUAAAUAUCAUAUAUUAAUUAUUUUUUUGCCUUAAAUAUUUAUUAUUUGUGAAAUUAAUAUUCAUUUGGAUUAAUAUUCAUGCUAAUUUUUUUUCAUGAGUGUUUAUCUUAAUGCUCAUUAUCUAGUAUUGAAAUAUACAUUGUUUUUAUCUAAAAUGUUCAUUAAUAUUUUUUGCAUGUAAAUUGAUUACAGAAUUCCGUUGUCACAAUAUCUCUUGGAUAGAAAAGCUACAAGUCCAGAGAUAAAUAGUGCCCUGCUUUUAGUAAAAACUAUUUUUGAGGUGGUGUUUUAUCAUCCCAAAAGAGUGAGACAAUAAAUAAUUUUGUGUCUAGAAGACUUUUUAGGAUUGCCGAUCUUUGUGACUUUUAUAAUUCAUUUGUUGAUAUAAUCUCAGAAUGGAGAAAUAAAGAGAAUGGAGAAGAUUUACAUUGCAUAGUAGAUCAACCAGCUAUAGUAAUGAAUCAUGUGAAGCUUAUUUCAUAUGCUAGGGAGAUAUACAAAAUAGAAAGUUAUUUUUUAUUUGAAGAGCGAUUUAUAAAAGGGGCUGCAUAUCAUCAAUAAUGUAUGAUGUUAAAUGGUAGUAAUAUUAAAUAUCAUGUUUGGCGGCCAGAUGUGGAUGCGAUUGGACAUAAGGUUGAUUUCAAUCAACAUGAUUUGAAUAAAUAUUGCACUUGCAAGAUGAUUUCAGAGGUGGAAAUUAUUUGUUGCCAUUGUUUGCGUAUAUUAAAUGUUCAUUAUAUUGAAGUUAUCUGAGAUAAAUAUAUAAUUAGGAGAUAGAGGAAAGAAGUUAUUGAAAGUAGAGAUAGAGAUAAUAUUAUGACUUUAUGCUCGUUAAAUGAAUCUAGUGUAGCUGCUCCACUUUGGAUAAUUCAAAUGGCUAGAAAAUUUUAAAGAUUCAUUUCAAUUAGUGAACAUAAUAUUAAAGCUCGAGAACAAUGUGAGUUAGCUUUUGAUAAUGCAAAAAGUAACAUUGCGAGUGAGAUUUGUUUUAUUUUUUUGAAAGAUUGUGAUGAAAGUUCAGUUGAGAAAAUUCAAAUUCUUUCUGUUCGUAGAGUAAAAGGUCAAGAGUGCUAUAGAGAAAAAAUAUAAUCAAGCAAAAUGGCGUAGAAAAAAAAUGCUCAAAUGGUUGUAUUGCAAACAAAAAUGAUAGUUCAUAAUGUAAUUUAGAUACCUUAUUUGUUGAAUUUUUUUUAAUAUAUUAUAUAUUAUAUUUAUUGUAAGCUCAUAUUUUGAUAUUUUUUAGAAAAUUGUUCACGUAAUAAUUGGAGAGGGAUAUCUUGCACAUCCAAGUUUUAGCUGCUCGGAAUUGGUAAAUGUUAUACCAAAUUCGAAUUCAAGAAGUUACACUUCAAUUGUUCAUUCAUUGAAUUUUAAUACUUCAAAUGGUUGGUAAGAAUUGAUUUUUUUUUUUGUAAUUUUAUUUACUUUUUUAUGUGAUUUUUAAUAUAAUGAGAAUAGUUUGUGUACAUUUAAUAUUUUAUUUUAUAUUGUAAGAAUUAUUAUUAUGUUAUAGCUUUAAUAUUUUAACCAUAUGUUUUUAUGAAUAUUUAAUAGUAUCACAAUGAACAUUUAUUUAGAGAGAAAUGAGCAGAAAAUUUUAAUCUAAAUCUUAUGAGUAGGAACGUUAUAAAUAUUUUUUUGUAUGGUGAUGAACAUGUUAAGAUACUAGAAUGAACAUUAGUGGUUUGUUCAAUACUUAAUUAAAGAUUAUUCAUCAAAACAUCUUAUUCAUGUUUAUUAUUAUGAGCAUUCGAUUAUCAAGGGAAAAAAUAUUAAGAAAUAUAAAAAAUAAUAUUAUAAGAAAUAUUUGUCCAUUGACAAAAAAAAUUAAAACUUUAUAGAAAAUGAAAUAUGUUCCUAAAUAGUUAAAAUUUACUAAAAAAUUAAAUAUGUCCAUUGUUAUGCUUCAUUUCUCUUCUAUUCAAAUGAACUUUUUCUUUGCUUCUUUUAACACUUCAUUCUUGUAGAUGUUUAAAUUUGAUUUGGUGGAAUAAUAUUUUACUCUAAGCACUUUCAAUUCAUUAAACUAUAAAUAACACAUUAUUAAUGAAAAAAAUAUUAACAUCUGUAAUAGUUGUAGUAAUUAUAAGAAUUAAUUUUCACAUUGUAAUUUUGAAAUGUUGUAUGCUAAAAAUAUAAAAACCAGUAUAUGUUAUGGACAUUUUAAUUAUAAGCUAUGAACAUCUUGAUUAUAAGUUUUGAUUAAAUAAUGAAUAUUACGAGUAUCUUUCAGCAAUAUCUAUACUUUUUAGAGUAUGAAAUUUUCUUUAUGGCUCUUGUUGUUUAUAUGUUGCAUUUUAUUUAUGAUGAAGUUGAAGCAAAUAAGAAAGUAAUGAUUUUCACGGAGAACAACAAAGAAUAUCUAUAAAAUUAAGUAUAUGUAAGUAAAUGAUCUAUAAUAAAUUAAACUAUAAUUUUUUGAUAGGAAUUUAUCCAAUUACUUACAAGUUCUGGAUCUCUCAAGAUAUUUUCUGGUAAAUAGCUCAGUUCUAAAUCAAUUGUUUCAUUGAAAUUUUUUUGAUGUUUAUCUCUUGUCAAGUCUUUGAGCAUGUAUUCUGUUAGAUUUUCCAAUUGUAGCUGAGAAAAUUAAAAUAUAAUAGUUCAGUAAAUGAACAUUGUUAAUUAAUGAAUAUUAGUGUUAUUGACGUACUCACAUAUGGUUGUGUGAAAAAGACUAGUCUUCUAGGUGUGUUUUGAGUGCUUUUCUCAACCAUGUUUAUUCUUACACUCCAUAUAUCCAAAAUGUUUACUAAGAUUUGUUCAUCUCCACACAAGCUCCUUAAAUCUUGACGAAAACCUAGCCAUUUUUGAAAUUUGAACAUAUAUUCACUAUAUAUAUAAAAUAAUUAGUUAGAUGAUGUGAUAUGCUCUGUAUAUAAUUUAAGAAAUUAAAAUACUUAAAUAUUAAUCUUACUUUUGAUCAGUCUCCAUAAAUGUAUAUUAUGAUAUUAAGCUCUUCCUUGCUGUGACAUCUCUCAAUUUCUGAUUGUAUCUCAGCCAAAAAGGAGACCUCAACUUGAAUGGAAGGCGCUUAUGUUUCCUUACUGGUCUCAUUCUUUUGUUUACAUCCUCAAUUUUUGAUUAUGACUCUUCCUUUAUUUUAGAUUUUAUAUAAAAAUGAACAUCAAUAAAAAAACUUGAAAAUAUUUUACACAAGUUAAUGAACAUUUUAUUAAACAAUGAUGAAUAUUAAGUGUAAAGUUAAUAAACAUUUAAUAUUUAUAUAUUGAACAUUCAUGAUAGAUGGACAUUACAAAAAUGAUUAAUGAACAUUCAUGACAGAGUAAAUGAAUAUUACAAAAAUGAUUAAUGAACAAAUUUCUAAAAGUUAAUGACCAUACUUAUCCAAUGUUUCUCUAUCUGGAACAUCAGAAAAUGCUGCAUUAUUGAACAUUUCAACCUCUUUUUCAUUCGGUUGAUACUUUCCACUCUCUUCAUCUGGCAAUCUCUAAUGAAAAUGUAGGUUCGUCAGCAACUUUUGUCUGUUUUAGAAUUACAUUUUUAAGCUUGACUACUGCUUCAAGAAAUUUUGGAUCACUAAAGAAAUCAUCAUCUUGAUCUUAAUUUCUUGAACCAGUUGGUUUUUCUUUCUGUGAGCUUGUUAAGUUGUUAUACAAUUUUAAAACAGAAUAUCAUUUUCCACCCUUCCUGCUUCUACCAUAGCUUCUCCAUACUCUACUACUGUACCUGCCAUUUUCUUCAAUGCAGUAGCAACUUUGUCCACAGAGUUCUAUGGAUAAAGUUUCUAUUAAUGAAUACUAAUUCUAUAACAAAUGAACACUAUUAUAUCUAAGUAAUGAACAUUUAUCUUUCUAACAUUAUCUGUAGUUUCUGUUGAUUCUUGAACAAUGUUAUCAUCAGCAGGAAUAUUAUCUUCCGUCUUUUUAUUUCUGAAAUUUUUUUAAGGCUCUUACAACUUUUACUUUUCCAAAAGAGUCUUCUUCCAUUUCCUUUUUCACUCUUUUUAAAAUAGCUUUUUUUUAUCCUAAUUCAACAGUAUUGGGAAUUUUCGAUUAACAUCUCUUCCUCUGAAUUUUACUCUAUCUAGGUAAGAUAACUUUUUAUUGAAAAAAUAAUACAGAGAAAAUACAUUAUAAUACUAAUGAAUAUUUAACUUAUUUAUAAUGAACAUUAAGCAGAUAUGAUAUAAAUAUUUUUCUGAUAAAUAAAUGAACAUGAAAGACAGUGUGUAUGCACAUUUCAGAAUAUGUUAAUGAACAUUGGUGGAGGUAUUAAUGAACAUUCAAAUAUUAUAAAUAUAAAUAUCAUCACAACACACAACAAAAGAUAAGCUAAUGAACAAUAUCAUUAUACUAUUGAACAUUUUAAUUUUUGAGAAUGAAUAAUAUUAAAAAAAUUAAUCUUUACUAGUAAGAAAGUGAUAGGUCCACAAAAGAAAGAUGUUGGGUUCUUCUUCCAAUCUUCUAUAGAAUGCACCAGGCUGUUGGUCGUAUAAUGAGACUAAUUCAUUUAUUUUAUUUUUUGUACUUCAAUGAGAGAGUAUAAGAUCUCGAAGUUGCAUUGACUGUUCUGAAACCCCUUUAUCAUAGAAGAGACAAUGAUUACAACGAAGUCUCAUUUGAAUUCAUCUCCAUAAUCUCCUCUGUUUGUCAUUUCUUUUGGCAAUUUACUUGUGACAGGACCUCCGGUUGUCACAUUCCAUCUUAAUUUCUAAUUUUAUAGUAAUUCAUUGUAACUUUCACUUUUUACUGUUUUGCUUGCUUCAAGAACUGUUAUAUUUUCAUAAGAAAGAUUUAUUGUAGACACAACAUCUUCUUCUAUCAUUGCAAGCUCACCUCUUUACAAUUUUAUUGCGUAUCUGCAAUGGUUGAAAUUUUCGAUGAGAAGUUUAGUUAAUUUCCCAUCACAUUCUGAUAGUUUCAUGUCCAGCAGACUUCCAAACCCAAUUUAUUAUACAACCUUCUUUUUUUUUAUGGACAGUUUCUCAAUCAAUUUUAUCAAACCUACUGCUGACAUUCUUGUAAUAAAAUCUAGUUUGGUAUACUUUUUUUCCUUCUUUUUUUCUUUUCACCAACAGAAGCACCAUCCAUGCUUCUAUUUUCAUUUGAAAAGUUACUCUCUUGUUGUUCAUAUUGUUCUUCUCUUUAAGGAGUUGUAGGAUUACGUUUACUCAUAUAUUUUGAAAGCGAUCCAUUCUAUGUAGCACUAGUUUCAAUUGGAGCAGCUUUCUUUUGCUUUUUUGCACAUGAUGUAUUCUCUUCUUCUCUAGCUUUCCUUUUCUUUGGUUUAGGAGUAUGCUUUGUUUGUAUUUCCUUUGUCAUAUGAUCUAAAUUAAAAUAAAAAUCUUGAUGCUAAAUUGUAAUCAUUUAGAAUAAAAAUCAAAUAGGAAUGUGUCCAUUCAAUGUAUAAUAAUCAUUAUGCUAUAAUAUAAUGUUCAUUAUGUAUAAUAUUAAUGUUCGUUUUAUAUUUUGCAGUACGAUGAAUGUUUAUUGCAUAAAUAUAUAAUGUUCAUACAACAAUAACAAUAAUGUUCACUUAAAAUCCAUAAAAUGUUCAAAGAAAUUAAUACAAACUUGUCCAUUUCAGGAGAUAAUAACCCAACAUCUUGAAUAAUUACAUUCAUAUAUAAAUGACAUUAGUAAUUCAGUAAUGUUCAUACUAAAUAACAGUAAUAUUCAUUAUAAAUGCAUAAAAUGCUUAAAGAAAAUAAUACAAAUUUAUCUACAAAUAUAAUCUUCCCUAAUCAUUUUUAGAUUCAUCCUCAAAGACCCUAAUUCAAAGUUUCAUCUUUAUAAUCCCCCAUCUCAUUUCUGGAGAUGAUAACCCAAACAACAUGAAUGAAUAUAGUAAAAUGAUCAUAAUCAUUAGUUUUUUUAAAUCAUAUAAUAAAAAUCCAAACAACAUAUUCAAAUGAACAUUAGUGAUUCAUGAGAUAUAUUUUUCAUUGCAACACAAAUCCUUAAAAAUAUGAAACUUACCUCUUAUCUGUUACUAAAUAAUUAUAAUAGACUUCUGUAAGUGUUGAAUUUUGAUGAACAUAAUAAUUCUUGAUUUGAUAGAGGAUUAUAUAGUGUUAUAUGAGUUAAAAAUUUGAAUCAACUGUCAUUAGUGGAGAGAAAAGUGGGCUUAUGCACCGAUGAAAUAGGGAGUGAUGUUUGAGAAGAUCACAGUUUCUGUUACAAAGAUAUAUUCAUUUAUUUAUUUUUUAAAAUUUAAAGUUAAAUCUUUGGGUUUUUAGAUGGUGAAAAGUCAUUGAUAUAUGACACAUGGGAUAUGCUGGUUUUUUUUGCUAAAAAGUGUGGAACUUUCUGUUUAUAAACUUUAUGUUUCAAAACGCAACAAGAUGGUGCGUUUUUCAAUUUAAUGAAACGUGUGUUUCAUUACUUCUUCCCACACGUGUUUAUGAGUCCUGCCAUAAAGCUACAUGGACCGGGGUCCAGAUUAUAAUUUGUGUUUAUUUAUGGACAUGGCUGGAAAACGUAGGUGAAUCACUGCUGAAUUAAUGUAUGUAACGAUUUUUUCUCACAUCAAUAUUGAUUUAGAAUUGAGAUUUCUGACACGAUUAAUUCAUUUUGCUAUUUCAGAAUGUGAGUGGUUAUUUAUUUACUAUAUAAUAACAUUAUUUUAAAUUUAGUGGUUGAGAUUGUAUAAAAAUAUAUUAUAUUAAAUGUUAAAAUUUAUCAUUUACGAGGGUUACAAGAGCUUUCUGCGAGGUAAAAGCUCUUAGUCUUAUACGCACAAAUAGGAACAAACAGUAAUUGAAAAAACAAGAGAGAGGCAACUUGUACUAUUAGUUGCGUUUUAUCUUUUUGGAGUUGGUAUAUGCAAAGCUCUUAUACCAUCGGACUUCUGCUUAAUUUUAAAAGUUCAUUGUAUCUUAAGAUGAAAUUCAGAUAUUACAAUUAUGGACCCAUUGUUCUAUCAUAUAUAUAUUCUAAAAUUCGGAGAAAUUGAUAGCAAUAUUCUUGAGAAUUUGAGCAAAUUUGUAAUCAUGAAAUUAUUCAACCAUGUUAGAUUUUAUAUGGUAAAAUUCCUCUAUGCAUUAGAAUAAGAUGUUAUAUGGCAGGCAAAGAUAUUCAAAUUGUGUUGUGGGUGCCACAUAUUGCAAUGUAGUAGAUAUAUAUCGCCCAUGGCCGAAAGUAUACAGAGAAAGAGGACCAGCUUGCAAUAACUGGCUUGAGGUAAAGCGAAAGGCCAGUUUCUCUCUAACUAGACCUAUUCAGUGCACCUAAAAACAUAAGUUUUUUCGACCAACUACAACAUUCAUUCUUAGAUAGCGAUUUGUCGAUCCUGUGAAUCUUUUCCUUUUUAUUUGUCGAAUUUUACACAUCACGAUAAUGAUGUUUAAUCUUAUCCUUCUCACAUGUAUCUACCGCAGCAUGAACAGAGACACAUAUAGUGGUUUAAAUUCAUAUAGCUAACAGCUAGCGUUUUUUUUUUUUUCUUUUUUUUUUUUUUUGUAAAGUUUUCUUCAGAAUUUGAGUUCUGAAUUGGAAUCCCCUUCUUCUUUUGGGGUUCAGGACCACUAACGGAUCGAUGUUUCUUGAUGCGAGCUAAGUAAUGUGGCAUAGGGAAAACUUAUAGAUGCUGUCAUGUAAAGAGAAAAUAAAGUUGGCAGGAACGCCAGGAGCACUUUCACAAGCUCAGUAUCAGCAUAUUUUCGAGGAAAUAUGCUGAUCUUGUGGUGCACAGAGCGUAUAUAUACACAAUUUCUUUAGAUACGUACCCUAGUUCCAUGGUCAUUUUGCCACGUUUCUUGCUAUCAAGAUGUGCAUCCGGAAGAUUUCUAGAAUGGCUAAUGCAUUGUGAUAAACUAAUACUUGUGCAUCAGAGACAGACAAAGACAAGAAUCAUGCAUGGCAUGGGAGACAUGAAAGAUUUAUACAUUUGCUGAUUGAACCUGAAAUGCUAAUUAUAUGAGAAUGUCAACUUAUGGCGGAAAUCGCAUAUCAGGAAAUUAACAUGGAAUAUGGAUACAUGUAUGAAUACAAUACGAGGUCGGUUCCUGGCAUCACAUAUAUGGAUGAGAUUUACUUUGGCGAGUGAAACUCUUGUCCUACUAUAGGAUCUAUGCGUCCAACUUGUUAUGAUCUAAUGGAACCAACCAAUAGUAAAGAUUCCUGGAAGUUCUUUUUUAUUUCAUUUAAAUCAAAGUUCAAAAGUGGUUUCCCCAUGGAUUUUAUUCACACGUUGAUUGACACAUUCUUCGGAGGAGUCUAAUAUUGUAUUAUAGGUGUCAAUGUAUUAUUUAUACUUCUAUCAUCAGUUUCCUUUUAAAAAAUAUAAGGCCUUAAUAAAUAAAUAAAUAAUACAUAGAAGAAUAAAGUUUGAGAUUCGAAAAAAGAAAAUCAUUUUAUUCUACUUUAAUUUGCAUCGCAAUUGGUGGUAUGGAACAAAUUUAAUUAAUUGCCAUAUAUCAGAUGCUAAAUAGUUGUCUUUUUUGGCUUGUGAGAAAUAGAUUAUUUAGUAAAAGAAAGAAUUGGUUAGCCACAUUACAUAAUUUGGGGGCAGAAUGUUGAUUACUCAUAAGAUUUAGAGGGCAAAAUGCAGUAACUUAAUUUCUAAUCCGUUAAUAAUCACUGUUGUUGGAGGAUGAAACACAACCCCAUAAUAACUUUGAGAAACACAAAAUAACCAUAGAAAGCAUCCCCAUAAUCUUGUUUUCUUUUUCAGUGUGCCUAAAUAAAUAAUAUAUGGGAAGAAGGUCAAUUGAAGGAGAAGUGAGAGAAAUGUACGUCAGUGAGAGAACUGUUGAAAUGUAAUGUCAUUUCAAGUACAAAAUAUAGGAUACGAACUCACAGGAAAUCAUCACUAUACUUUUCUUUCUUUCUUUUUUUGAAAAAAUAUAUAUAUUCUCAUCGAAGAUAAAAUAUUAUUCUCCAAAUCUUGUGCUGAGAUUGCUCACAAUCGUUAUCAAGAUAAAUUUCAGUGUCAUAAAAUUCGUCAGGUGGAUAGAAGCAUCUUUGUCUUCUUUUGUUGUUUCAUCAUGUGGAUUACUAUUUCUUGCUUCUGGUUUAAGAAAUGGGGUAGGGUUAUGCAACUAGUACCUCAUACAAUAUGCACCCAAUACAAUUUCCCUCUUCUAAGGCAAUCUUAAAAUCAAAUUAAUAAUCCGCAUAAAUUACAAAAGAAAAAUCUUAUGGUCUUCCUUUUUUUAUAAUUUUUACUAUUUAGUUUCUUUUAAAUAAAGAGAGAUACGUGGUUAUAAAUUAUGAUAAAAAUAAAAAUAUCUUAUCAUUAAAAAAUUUCAAUUCGUAAGAAUUUACUAUCUUUAUUCUGUUCAGUCGCUAUUAUUAUAUUAUCUAUAUCUGAUAAUGUGAGUAUAAAGCUUAAUAACUCCUAAAUUCGUUGUUUGGUUGUUAAAUCGCGAUUUAAGAAGUUAGUGAUCUAAUGAUAUCAAUUUAACAAUCAAAUAAUAAAACUAAAGGUCAUUAAGCUCUAAACUCAUAUUAUUAAACACUAACAAUAAAUGAUAGUUGACUGAAAUAAAAAUAGCUAAAUUUUCGAAUCGAGAUACUUUAAUAGCGUAGUAUCUUUUUUGUCAUAAUUUGUAGGGAUAAGUACAUAAAAGUACUUGUUGGUUUCAUCAUUUUACAACUUUUAGUAUAUGGUUCUUUUAGACAAAAAGAGGCAUGUGGUUAUAAAUCGUGACAAAAAAAUAUAUUUCACCGUCAAAAAGUCUCGAUUUGCAAGGAUUCAACCACAUUUACAUCGACCGACAUCAUCAUCAUAUUGUCUGUAUUUGAUAUCGUGAGUUUGAAGCAUAAUAACUCAUAAUUUCAAUAUUUGACUAAUAAAUCAUGAUUUAUGAANNNNNNNNNNNNNNNNNNNNNNNNNNNNNNNNNNNNNNNNNNNNNNNNNNNNNNNNNNNNNNNNNNNNNNNNNNNNNNNNNNNNNNNUAGCUAUUUUUAUUUCGGUCAACCAUCAUUUGAAAAUUGUAAACUGAUGAAACCACAAGAUACUUUUAUGUACUUAUCUCUAAUUUGUAACUAUCUACUCUUUUAAUUGGAUAUAUAUAUAUAUAUAUAUAUAUAUAGUGUGCAGGAUCCUCAAACGAGGCAAGUACAGAGCAUACACUUGUUAAAUCUCAAUGAGAAAUGGAAAAUAAGAUAAUAAAAUAAGAAUUUGUUAUUGAUAGAUGAAGAAAUAUACAAACUUUGAAAUAAAAGCUUUAAAAUGAAAGCUUUAAACAAAAGAAAUAUAACUUACAAGAGUAAUUGAAUACAAGAGGAAGAUGGUUUCUCACUAUCACUCUCACACUCUCUUUUCUCAUUAUAUUUCUAAUGGUAUGACUUGAAAAAUACAAGAGUUUCUUGUUAUUUUUCAGUUUGCCUUCUUCUUUGGUAGCUCCUCUAUUUAUAGAGGUCUUCAGUCUUCAAGCUCAAUAAUUGUUACUUUGGAUGCUCUUCAUAAUAGAGUGAAGGACUCCACGUCUUUUGGAUGCUUUUGAUAAUGGAGUGAGGGGCUCCACGUCUUUUACAGAAGUUGCCUGCCACGCUUCAACAAUGAGGAAUCUUUUACUUUAAAAAGUAACAGUGCAAAGUCUUUUGUCUUCUUUCUUUUCUUUUAAAAAGACUUUUUUGUGUGUAUAUUGGGCAUUUGGCCCAUUGCAGAAUUGUUUUAGGCUGCCAAUUCUGGUUUUCAACCAAGAGCUUUACAAAGAUGUCAUUUGAUGGGUUUAAAUAUCUCAAAACAGUCAUCUUCAUUCGAGUCACCAUCUAGGUCGAUUGCUGCUGAGCUGGUGCUGGAAGAAGAAGAUGAAGCUUUAGAUUUUUCUUUGAAAAGGCGGUUUCUGACAACUGUUUGAUCAAUUGUAAGAAAUCUUCUUCUGUUUGAGUCGCCGCUAGCUUUGGAAUAAUGAAAGACCUAUGUGCCAGGAAAGUGGUAUGUUUUUUCGGAGGUGGCAAGAAGCAAUUUUUUGAAAGAAAACUUUGUACCAUCUUUAGAGAUAAUUUUUCUUGGUAGUUGAAUUUAUCCCACCAUUUAACUUUGAAUCUUCGGGCAAGGAUGGUUUCUCCAUCUGCUACUUGGUUGAAAUGGAAAUACCAUACACAUACCCAUGGGAGAAAGAAGUUUGAACAAAAUAGAAGUAAAGGAGGAAAACGUCUUUCUAUUUUGUUGGGUUUGUAUUGAGCUUUGAAUAGAUUAAACAAAGGUAGAACUUCUAGAAUUAUGGUCUCUGGAAUAUUGCCAUAAAAAUUCCACAAUUGUUUAAACCAAUAUAGGAUUUUUAAAAUUUGGAUUGUGUUUGUGUCGAAGUAAAAAAGCCAAGAAUGGCUUUGUCCUUCGUUUUGUAAAAGAAAGGUAUUAAACCAAGCUUGCUCGUAAUCCCAAUAGUUAAAAGAAGUAUUUAGAUUUGAAGGGUAGGUACUUUGGAGGGAGGUUGGAAAAGAUCUUGGUGAAUGUAAAUCCAUUCCCCAAUCUGAAGGGUGAAGGAUUCUUUGGAUGGUGCAUGUGGAAUAUGCUGAGUCUUUGUGGUCCUUAUGCUUUUUGAAGUGUUUGAAUUUUGCAGAACGAGUUACCUCAAGGAUAAACUGGUAGUAAAAUUGGGAUUUUGAUUUAUUCCAGGAUUUAAAGUACCAUCGUGGAGGAAAAAAUUUUGAAACAAGCUUUGAGGGGCUUUCUGUACAGAAUCCUUCCUCAAUAGUUAAAAUACUUUGAAAGUUUUGCUUUUCUACAUAUUCAUUGAUUUUGAAAAGUUUUGUUUGUGACAAAACUAUUUUUUGUGAGUUAGACUUUAAAAUAUUUUGAGAGCUCUGAGAUAGAUUUUGAGAGAAAAUUGAUAUCUCAGGUUUUGAAAAAGGGAUAGAGAGUAUACCUUUACCUUUGUUUGAAGAGGAGGAUGACUUUGGAGAAAUUUUUAGUUGGACUUCAGUCCUUGGUACUUGCUUUGAAUAUUCUUCGACCAUCUUUAAAAAUUCGAGAGUUUGUUGUGCAAGCCACUCCUGAAUAUGGAAUUGCUUUCGGGUCGGGUCUUCUUCUUCUAUUUCUCCUGGAUGAUCUCAGUCCAGGUUCUGAUAGGCUUUGAAGAGGAGGGUAUAAUCUCCUUUUUCGGGCUUUGAACAGCUUUUGUAUUUGCUGUUGGCUUUUCGUCUUUGUCUUUUACUCUCGAUUUUCUUGGCAUUGUCACUCAUGUUUUUUAAGGAACUUUCUGGUUAGAAAGUCUGGAAUUGAAUUCGAAUCUCCUAUUAUGUAUUCGAUUUCAAAAUAAAAAACGGAAAGAAUGGCUUGCCAUCUGGCAAAAAUCUGUUUUGAAGCUAUAUUUUGAACAUCUUUUGGUAACACUUCUUUCACGGAUUCACAAUCAUCCUUAGAAGAAAUUUUUGAUUUAAAAGAUCACUUUGGAAUUUUGAAAUACAUAAAAUUAUCGAAAGAAUUUCUUUUUUGAUAGUUGAAUAAUUUUUUUGUGUAUCAUUUCAGUGUGCAGAAGUAAAUUGGACAAUACAUUCUUUGUUGUUUUGAACCUGUUUGAGAAUUCCACCAUAACCUAAAUUUGAUUCAUCAGUUUCAAUAAUUUUGAAUGUAGAUGGAUCAGCUAGGUGUAAACAUGAAAUUUCAGAAACUUACUUUUUAAUGCUUUGGAUAAUCUUUGUAUGCUUAUUAGUCCAUGUAGGGGGAUUUUUCUUUAAUCUAUCAUGGAGGGGUUUUGCUAAACAGUUCAAAUUUGGAUAUAAAUCCAUGACAUAGUUUAAACUGCCAAGGAAUCUUUGCAAUUGAGUUUUUUCCAAAAUUUUAUCUGAAAAUUUUGAAGUAAAAGCUAGAGACUUUUCAAUUGGGGUGAUAGUUCCCCGGGAGAUGUAAUGUCCAAGAAAUCUAAUUUUCGUUUGGAAUAAAGAUAUCUUGGACUUUUAAACUACUGGACCAUUUUUCUUAACAACAUAGAAAAAUGUCUCCAAAUGUUUGAAAUGCUGCUCUAGAGAAUUUGAAAAUAUUAACACAUCAUCAAUAUAGACAAUGCAAAACUUUGAAUAAGGAUUGAAAAUAUCAUUCAUAAUUUUUUAAAAUUUAGAAGGAGCAUUUUUUUAAUCCAAAAGGUAUCACAUUCCAUUUGUACUGGCCAAAUAGAACUGUAAAUGCAGUUUUGUACCGAUCUUUAGGAUGAAUCUGGAUUUGCCAGAAUCCUAAUUUCAUAUCAAAUUUUGAAAAAAUAAAAGCAGAAUGAAUCUUUUGAAGAAGAUUUUUUUUGUUUGAAAUGGGAUAUCUAAUAUACUUUAGAGCUUUAUUCAAAGGUUUGUAGUUAAUCACCAAUCUAGGUGUUCCUCUUUCUAUCUCACUAUUUUUAUUGACAUAGAAGACUGCACAUUAACUAUUCAUAUUGAAUCACAAUCCAUCCAUUCCGUAGUUAACACUCUCAAACCGUAUGCAGUAUUUAUGUUUUUUAUAUAGGAAUUGGUGAGUGAAAGAACACAAAAUAUAAAGAAAAUCAGAUUUUAAAACUUUUGAAGAAAAUAGAAGUUUUUUUACUGAAAUAGAUUUAAGGGUAUUGUUACUAAAAAUAAAAUGCAAGAAGUAAUGCUUUUAGCGGUCAAAAUGUCUGCCAUUAAAACUUAAGCAUCCUAAAAUAUGUUAAUGAUAAAACUAUAAUUUUGUGAUAGACGCAUUCUGAAGUCUUACUGAAUAAAUCAAUUUUAACAUUUGUAUAUUUCCCCACAAAAUAUGUCAAAUCUAAGAAUUGCAUAGUGGCAAAUGUUUCCCUAGAAAAUGAUAAUAUUUGCUACAUAAUAUAUGCGGGAUAAUAAUAUAACUAAUCACUUAAUUUUGUAUUUAGUUUUAUUUUGAUCAUAAAAUUUUAAUUUAUUAUAUUUCAAUCAUUCAACUUUAGUUUUGGUUGUAACACUUUGCCAAUAAAAAAUUGACAUGUCACAUUUCUUCUUACUUAAUUAUAUUUUUCUGAUUAGUUAUUUUUGCCACGUGUCAAUUUUUUUUACGAAGUUACUAAAUUAAAAUAAAAUUAAAAUUAAAUGACUAAAAAUUAAAAUUUUAUGAUUAAAAUGAAACUAAAUAUAAAGUUCAGUAAUCAUUUAUAUCAUUAUCUCCAUUAUAUGUUGUGUGAUAACGUAUCAUCUUAGUUUCAUUUAUAUACAUAAUUUUUCUGCAAAUUGUUAGACCUGCAAAAAUUAAUAAUUUAUAAGAGAAUGUAAUGUUUCAAUAUUAUAUUUCUACUAUUUAGGGUCUUUUUAGUUUAGCUUCAUAAUACCGUUAGUGAUGGUUGAUCAAUGAUAAUAUAAAUUAUCAGAUAAUUUUUUUAAAAUAUUCUUAUUAAUAUUUAAAUGGCCGUUUAAGAUACAAAUUUUGUUGACAUACAUUUUCAUAUAUGUCAUAUUAAUUUUUUAAUUGUACAAAUUAUCAAAUCGAACUUAUAUUAAUUAAAAAAUUAUAAUUAAUUUUAUUCAGUUUUAUUAUUAUUAAAUAUAUAUGUAGAAGCUGUUUUAAGCGUAGGUAUUAAAGUUUAAAUUUCACCAAUGUAAAGGUUUUUUUUUUUAAAUAAUCUAAAAUAAAAUAUUUUGUUAACUAAUUAUUUUAAUGCGUAAUUACAAAUUAAAUCUCAAAUUUUAUAUUUUCUAAUAAUUUUAUCUAAUUAUUUCAAAAUUUUAAAACAAAUAUUUAUUCUCUUAAUUUAUUUUCAAAAAUACUUUGAGAUAAUAACUUUUGAAGUUUCAUAGUAAAAAAGAUGAAAUAAAAAAUCGAUUAUGCUCACUGAAAGAAUAAUAAUUAUGAAUUAGUACAAAUAGUUUAUCCCAAAUUUAAUAAUAUGACCAUUAAAAAUCUCAUGUUUAUGCAUUUUUUUAUAUAUUUUAUAUUUAAAUGCAACAAAUUUUUUAUUAACUUACUAAUUUUUAUAUUAGUGAGCAGAAUUAACUUGCCACAUUAUUUUUCUCGAUGUAAAAUCUUAAAAAUUGUUACCAAUGAAAAUAAUUGAAAGUAUUGGUAUUUAUUUCAAAAUUUUGAAACACUUAAAUAAAAUUGUUAAAAAUUUAUAAAGUUCAAGACUUAAUUAUUAAUUGAGUCUUAUUUUAAUAGAAAUAAUAUUGUUAAAAAUAAUUUAAAGAUCAAUUAUUAGUUAAUAAAAAAAUAUGAAAAAAAACUCGCAAAGUAUUUAACUGAUUGGAAUUAAAUCAGUAAGUAAUGGUUGAUUUUUAUAUUUUACUAAAUAGAUUUGGUCCAGCAUUUAGUUGAGAAAUAAAAUAACAAAUAAAACAAGACCUCCAAACUAAAAAUCGUCUAAUUCCUUUUUCCUGAAACAAUUGAAUUUGUCUAAGGGAUGCAUCCCCAUAUCCAAUUGAUAAAGAUUUAUUAUGAUAGAGGAUUGAAGAAACAAAGGAUUAUCAGUAGAAUGGUAUUCAAAANNNUCAAAAAGAUAAUGUUGGGAUUUGGACUCUCUUCCUACUGUCAAUGCUCCAAAAAACCAUGGAGAAUGACAGAGGUCCAAACAGCAGCCUUAUUUCAAACAUUCGUGCGCUUAUUAUAACGACUGCGAAGUAAACCAUGCAGCAGCAUAUGUUAAGAGAAAUAAAAUUCUUUCUUCUGACUCGUUGGCUAGCAAUGGUUUUUCAUCACACACUAUCUAUCAGAACCUCCGGAUGAGCUGCAAGAUUUGUUGGGCAGCUUAAUCAUAAUUCUCUUUCGUUCCCUGUGUUUUUCUUUUGGGUUCUUCCCCACCUUUGUAACU